AAUUAAAUGCAUUAAUUGAAUAGAGUGUGUUUAGUGAAUUUACCAGAAUCGUCCAGAAAACAUGGGAAACAGCAAGUGUUCUUGCAGACUGCGUCGGAGGCACCCGCACGAAUACAAAGCUGACAACAUAGUUUUGCCUGGGCGGAUGCGCAGCAGCCGCACUCCGCCGCGGUGGGGUUAACAUUGAGGCUCAAGAUGACCAGGCACAUGAUCACCAUCAAAGUGGUAGUCCUCUUUCCCUCCAUUGCCUCCUCUUAGCUUGCUGCUACCUUCCUUGGUUACCUAGCUAAGUUUAUUGGUUUUGUGUUGAGAGGUGUGAUUCUUGAAUGGACGUUGCCGGCGGCAAUUUAUAGGCAGCUGAGCUAUGUGAUGAUAUGGACUAGGUGCAAAUGGGUGGUUAAUGGCAAGGAAAGGGGCGUCAGACAAAGCCCAAUGGCAACUGCUGACAUGCGAUUAAAUUCAGAUCCACAUCCGGCCAUUCAAUAAUACGGUUGGAGUUGUGGCACAGAUAUAUUAUUGCAUGAUCAUCAAGAUAAGAUCGUACAGUGACUGAGUGAGACAAUAAAUAGCCAAGUAAACUAUUUUAUCCUGCUGCAAGCUGCAUUCAUAAGUUUAUUUCACCUUUGAUCACAAUACUCUUCACACACGUACGUCUCAGGGAGAUCUCACUUCCGCUGGACUGCUCACUUCCGCUGUCGUCGGUACUGCCAAAGACAUAAGCUCACAUCUGCUAUUGCGGAGCAGGCCAAUUUGCUGCGGAACUUCGGCGACGACCUGAAGGACAUGAACUCGGUGCUGGAGUCCAUCUCAGCAGCGCUCUAGGACGCUGACACCGGUAGAAAAACGACCUUCCAUCGUCAACAAAAAUCCCGGUAGCUUUUUUACUCGGUACUAAAGAGGUUUUAAUCUCGUGCAAACACCUUUAGUCCAGAUUGCUAUUACCACGCAACCCGGACUAAAGCGUCCCCCGCGAGUUAGUAUAUAAGGAUUGCAUCCUUUACUCAGUCAGAUAUAAUAUGUAGGUGAGAUGGUAAGGAAGCUAUGCGUGAGGCUUCAGGUUGUGGGUUCGAAUCCAAGUGGGUGCAGCUGUGGCUUAAGCGGCUGAGGCACGCCGCCAUAGACAUCUCAGAUUUGCUCGAAGACUACCAAGACACUAGUGAACCCUUAACAGUAAAGGUGAGUACUUAUGAAUGUCAGCAUCCAUGUUGUCCAUGCUUCCAAUGUAAUAACAAGAUGGACUACUCUUCCUAGCGGACUCUUCACAACCACUCGUAAAGCUAUGCGUUUCUCAAUGCAAUUUCGUAGAAGCCAAUCGAUCCAACCAAGUGACUAAAUCAUUCGUCCUUUCCAAUGAUGUGCAUCAGGUUUUCUAUAUGAAGGGCAUGUCUAGCAAACCUAAGAUUUCAGAAGAAAAAGAAAAAUCAUUGGAGCCAAAGAGCCACAUAGUUCUUCUAGGAAAAAAAUCAUGGGAGUCGAGAACAUAUCAAACCAAUCAGGGGAUUAUGGUCAGCUUAAUGGCAUGCCUCCAUUCGAUGUCGAAGUUCACCCAAGCAUCAUGUUAGCCAAACAUCAAAUGUUCGUGCGUUGUUACGGUAAAGAUCAAUUGUGUUUUUUAAACUCUUGGAAUUUUUUUAUCUAAGUUUUUAUUUACACUUAUUGGAUGUCUACACAUUUGCUAGAAAACUAAAAUAAUUUGGACUUAAUUAUUUCUUUCAACUGAAGUACUCACUAAAUUUCUACCUUUUUAUUUAAGCAAGAGAGUUGCUAAAAAAAAUGGAUACGUAACCAUGUUGUAUCAUACAAAGUAACCACGUUUCACAUAUAGUCCGGCUUAGCAAACACCAUUGUUUUCUGAACAUAGCGUACAUGAGUUAACAGACAUGGAUUUAUUUCUAUUGCAAGUAGCAUAGCGUACAACCUGCCUGCACCGAUGCAGCUCAAUAUGCGAUAAUUUUUAUCUUCCCAUGUAAUUUUUCUACUCUAGUACAUAUUGAACUCCACAUUAAUGUCAUGUUCUUUCGCGCCCCAGAAGGUUCCUAAAGUUUGGAAACUUAAUAGAUAGCCAGAAUUUUUUUUAAAGAUAUUUAUAUGGAUACUUGUAUGUUCUUUCCAAACUAACAAUAUUGUUUACCAAUAUCAGAAGGAAUAUGGUUAGGAGCCAUUGCCGCAUAUGGCAGGUGAUGGUAGAUGGCGUAUGGGGUUUCGUUAAUUUAAUGGUAUAAUAAGCUGAAAUACAUUUUCUAUUUGCAAAUGAAUCAUAGCUGAAAUUGGUGGGAUUGUUUUUUUCGCCGGUUUAGCAUCCUGUGCACCAGUUCAACCGGAGGGAAGCUGUUUUUUUUCUUUGGUUUUCCACCGGUUCACCGAGACCGAUGACAAUUUUAUGGCAGAAUCAUUACUUGUUUUACUAUUAGGUGAAGAUUUUAGCGUUUAGGUAUCUCACAUUAAACGCAACUUCAACAAUCUAUUUCUAGUGUAUAAUGUAGGAGACCCCGUAAAGAGUCUACACACACAUAUAUGUUGACUAUGAAUGUAAGUUUGUUGGUUUUAUGUAUGUUCGUUUGGAGUUUAUAUAAAUUUUACAUUUUAUAGUUUUGUGUAUAUGACGAAGAUCCAUGACUUGCAUUAAUUUAGCCUUUCUUCCAACAACUCUUAUGCAUGCUGUUUCUAGGCGAGCGUACUGGUUGCAAUUUUGGUCCCCGAUAUAGUGUGAGGACUUAAGGGACACGUGCAGGUCGUAACCUUAGAUAUUUUUGCUGAGAAUGGAUGAAGAAGCAAUAAUAUACUUUGCUUCUGAUUUUCUCCAUGUCAUUUGCUUACUCUUAUCCCUUUUAUUUAUCAUUAUAAGAUGAAAAUAUUGUAAAAACUUGGCUACGUGCGGUCGCAGAAGCUAGAGACUAAAGCGUCCCCCACGAGUUACUAUAUAAAAGGAUUGCAUCCUCUACUCAGUCAUAUGUACUGUGUAGGUGAGAUGGUAAGGAAGCUAUGUGUGAGGCUUGAGGUUGUAGGUUCGAAUCCCACGCACCGCGUGCGCAUGCGCAUAUUUUGCGUGAAAAAUCGCAUGACUUGUGGUCGGCCAAGGAGAAGUGCGUGCGGCUGAGGCACGCCGCCAUAGACAUCUCGGAUUUGCUCCAAGACUACCAAGACACUAGCGAACCCUUAACGGCAAAGUUGAGUACUUACGCGUGUUAGCAUCUAUGUUGUCCAUGCUUCCAAUGCAAUAACAAGAAGGGCUACUCAUCCUAGCGGAUUCUUCACAACCACUCGUAAAGCUAUGCGUUUCUCAAUGCAAUUUCGUAGAUGUCAAUCGAUCCAACCAAGCGACUGAAUCAUUCGUCCUUGCUAAUGAUGUGCAUCAGGUUUUCUAUAUGAAGAACAUGUCUAGCAAAUCCAAGAUUUCAGAAGAAAAAUAAAAAUCAUGAGAACCAAAGCACCACGUAGUUCUUCCAGGUAAAAAAAACAAUCAUCCACUGGGAUGACACACAGUAGCGAUCCAAAACGUCCAUAUUAAGACUUUUUGAUAGCAGAAAAAACAUGAAAAUGUCUAAUAUUUGUAGUAUUAAAAGGAAAAAUAAUAUAUUCACUUGACCUUUUUUUCGUAGCAACGCACCGGUGCGUAGUCAGACUUAGGCCACGUUUGGAUACUCCCUACUAAAGUUUAGCACCUGUCACAUAGGAUGUUUGGAUACUAAUUAGGAGUAUUAAACAUAGGCUAAUUAUAAAACUAAUUGAACAGAUGGAGUCUAAUUUGCGAGACGAAUCUAUUAAGCCUAACUAGUCCAUGAUUUGACAAUGUGGUGCUACAGUAACCAUUUGCUAAUGGUGGAUUAAUUAGGCUUAAUAGAUUCGUCUCGCGAAUUAACAUAGGGUUCUGCAAUUAAUUUUAUAAUUAGCUCAUGUCUAGUCCUUCUAAUUAGCAUCCGAACAUCUGAUAUGAUACUGCUAAAGUUUAUCACCUAGUAUCCAAAUACCCCCUUAAUGCACGAUGCCUGUGCAUCCACUGGGCCUACCCUCGUGGAUCACGCGCUCGUGGAUCACGCGCACCAUGACAUGGCUCAUUAGCUAGUCGUGCUAAUCCUUACCACCAAAUUAAAAACUAGCAUGUGUUGUGUGUUUGUGACCCUAAACGACUACCACCUUCCCGAGUCCACCGGAGUUGCCAGUUCACCACUAAGCUGACUCUCCGAGCUUCAUGUCACUGUCACCGCUCCAAAGACCUAGAUCGGUUCGCUGUGCACCCCGCUUCGUCCUGAGCUAAAUCCCAUCACGAAAGGUGACCGGAUGCUCGUUUUCGAGCGAAUUCUAGCGAGAUUGCCACCACCUUUCCCCUUCCAGCCGAUCGCAGCUGUCUGAUCACAAACCGACAGCCCAGAUCGGAUUUGACCAGGUCAAUACCGGUCAAGCCGAGAUGCAUGCUGCUUUUGCAAGAAGGCCCCUAUUUUUCUCUCUUUUUGCACUUGAGGUCCUACGCAGUUCAAAAGUAAUUAGAUCUAGAUCCUUUUUCUUCUGUUUUAGCCCUGUUCUUUUAUAAAAUCCCACCCGCCAUCCUGUUUGGUAUUUUGACAUGUUAGACCUUCUAUUUAUAUGUUUAAUUAGGUUUUAGCCCUUGGUUUCUUUAAGUUUAGCUCUUGGAAGUUUAGUUUUCUCGCAGUUAAGCCCCUGAACCUUGUUUAGUUCAUAUCUUUAGCGUUUUAAAUCCGUUUUAAGAGAUUCUUACGCCCAUAAGUUCGUGUUGAUGCAUAGAUUAGUUGACUUAUACGGACCUUGCUGAUUCAGCUCCUUCAUUGUGCUUCAGAUCUCGCUAGUGAAGAAUAAUGGAUGGGCUUUGGUUGAGCUUGUAGAUCGACCUGCAGUUGCAGUGAAUGUGCUGAGGACUGGCGGUACCAAUAAUGGGAGGCCGCUGCUCUGCUUGCUACCAAGGCCUGCGACGCUUGGACGCCAUUCAGAGUGCAUAAUUUCCAAGGAUCUCAAGGGCUCCACACCACGUUCCAAGUGUUUUUUCUUUGCCGAGUGUUUUUAGCUCGGCACUUGGCAAAGAGCUUGUUUGCCGAGUGUCCGAAAAAAACACUUGGCAAAGAGAAAACACUCGGCAAAUUUGAUGUUUCCCGUAGUGAUGUACUAUUCAAACUUGAACUGGGAUGCAGGCUUCAGUACCAAAGAGAGCUCUGGGCGCGGGUGAGCAGUGAGCUGGCCGGGCAGGGAGCUCCAAAGCGACAGCAACAAAGAGAGAAAUGCUAAGAGUAAGAACGACACACGAGGUCACUUCACAUAGAUAAUAGCAGUACGAACCAUACAAUAUCCUCUCUCAGUUUCACUCCGCCUCACACACGGCUAGCACACCAUGCAUGCCGAUUUCAUAUUAUUAAUAUUAUUUUUUGGAUGGUUGUUGAAACUAUAUAUAUAGUUAGUCCAAUCUCACGUUUCCGAUUAUAAAAAUCAACGUAAAGAGAUCGGAAGGGAGAGCCGGCAUAAUGAAGCCGACGCGUGUAAUAAGCACCAGAGCCGGCAUUUAUACAAACUGGUACGAAUAGUAAAAAACUAGAAUUUAUAAAUAAAAAAAUGAUUUGCACAUCUAUGCAAUAAUUAGGGGUUAGUGGCAGGUCUAGAGAGAUAUCUCAUCAUUAUAUCCGGUUUAACGAGGAUAAAAAAGAGUGUAUUUUCCACUCAUCAUGUUGUCUUUUCGCAGCGGUACCACUUUUCGUGUGUUGUAUCGGUCCCCUAAUACGGAGUCUCCGAGGCCCGAGAAAAUAAGGAAAGUGAUAGUAGCCCAGAAAUCGGCCAAGUUUCUUUCCCCUUUGGCUUUCCUACUAGGAUUCAGAAUCCUCUUUCGCAUGACAAUCUUAAUUAUCUCCCAUACUCCAAAACUCACAAAAACAUCAAGAUUCCGCUGAGAAUAAAUUUAAGUAAAAAACAUGCACACACAGAUAAUAAUAAUAAUCAUGUUUCCAUAAAAUUGCUAAGUCCAGAGAUAAUACAUAAACAUAGUAGACUGUUCAUGACACAUAUCACGGUGGACAGUGUUUGUGUCCUUAUUACAAGCAACGAGAGAUGCUCGUCACCAACACGCGCGCGCACAGAUGCACGACAUACAUAUAGUAGAGACCAACAGAUGGUCGUCCCAUAUGGUGAACAAUUUAUUGGGGAUAAAUAUUAACGUAACUUGGCCAUAGCUUGAAGCAUAGCAACAUAUGCCUAUGAGUGGCAUUCAUGCUAUCGUUUUAGGCUUGUCCAGCUCCUUCCAUCUUAGCAAGCACUUCCAUUUCUACCAUCUUAGCAGCAACUGUCAAAUUGAGAUACGGAAAUCCCAUUAGCGCAUGAGUUAAUUUUGCAGUGGAAAUAGAGUACAAGAUGUCUUCAUGAUGUAAGUAAUAUGCCUGAAGUUGUGAGAUGGGAAGUGAAGUCAACAAAUUACAUUAACGGAAAUGCAUGGAAGGCCACACAUACGUAUUAGUCCAUGAUAUGCUACAAAGCUUGUAUGUACAUAUAGCAAAUUAAAUGCAUUAAUUGAAUAGAGUGUGUUUAGUGAAUUUACCAGAAUCGUCCAGAAAACAUGGGAAACAGCAAGUGUUCUUGCAGACUGCGUCGGAGGCACCCGCACGAAUACAAAGCUGACAACAUAGUUUUGCCUGGGCGGAUGCGCAGCAGCCGCACUCCGCCGCGGUGGGGUUAACAUUGAGGCUCAAGAUGACCAGGCACAUGAUCACCAUCAAAGUGGUAGUCCUCUUUCCCUCCAUUGCCUCCUCUUAGCUUGCUGCUACCUUCCUUGGUUACCUAGCUAAGUUUAUUGGUUUUGUGUUGAGAGGUGUGAUUUUUGAAUGGACGUUGCCGGCGGCAAUUUAUAGGCAGCUGAGCUAUGUGAUGAUAUGGACUAGGUGCAAAUGGGUGGUUAAUGGCAAGGAAAGGGGCGUCAGACAAAGCCCAAUGGCAACUGCUGACAUGCGAUUAAAUUCAGAUCCACAUCCGGCCAUUCAAUAAUACGGUUGGAGUUGUGGCACAGAUAUAUUAUUGCAUGAUCAUCAAGAUAAGAUCGUACAGUGACUGAGUGAGACAAUAAAUAGCCAAGUAAACUAUUUUAUCCUGCUGCAAGCUGCAUUCAUAAGUUUAUUUCACCUUUGAUCACAAUACUCUUCACACACGUACGUCUCAGGGAGAUCUCACUUCCGCUGGACUGCUCACUUCCGCUGUCGUCGGUACUGCCAAAGACAUAAGCUCACAUCUGCUAUUGCGGAGCAGGCCAAUUUGCUGCGGAACUUCGGCGACGACCUGAAGGACAUGAACUCGGUGCUGGAGUCCAUCUCAGCAGCGCUCUAGGACGCUGACACCGGUAGAAAAACGACCUUCCAUCGUCAACAAAAAUCCCGGUAGCUUUUUUACUCGGUACUAAAGAGGUUUUAAUCUCGUGCAAACACCUUUAGUCCAGAUUGCUAUUACCACGCAACCCGGACUAAAGCGUCCCCCGCGAGUUAGUAUAUAAGGAUUGCAUCCUUUACUCAGUCAGAUAUAAUAUGUAGGUGAGAUGGUAAGGAAGCUAUGCGUGAGGCUUCAGGUUGUGGGUUCGAAUCCAAGUGGGUGCAGCUGUGGCUUAAGCGGCUGAGGCACGCCGCCAUAGACAUCUCAGAUUUGCUCGAAGACUACCAAGACACUAGUGAACCCUUAACAGUAAAGGUGAGUACUUAUGAAUGUCAGCAUCCAUGUUGUCCAUGCUUCCAAUGUAAUAACAAGAUGGACUACUCUUCCUAGCGGACUCUUCACAACCACUCGUAAAGCUAUGCGUUUCUCAAUGCAAUUUCGUAGAAGCCAAUCGAUCCAACCAAGUGACUAAAUCAUUCGUCCUUUCCAAUGAUGUGCAUCAGGUUUUCUAUAUGAAGGGCAUGUCUAGCAAACCUAAGAUUUCAGAAGAAAAAGAAAAAUCAUUGGAGCCAAAGAGCCACAUAGUUCUUCUAGGAAAAAAAUCAUGGGAGUCGAGAACAUAUCAAACCAAUCAGGGGAUUAUGGUCAGCUUAAUGGCAUGCCUCCAUUCGAUGUCGAAGUUCACCCAAGCAUCAUGUUAGCCAAACAUCAAAUGUUCGUGCGUUGUUACGGUAAAGAUCAAUUGUGUUUUUUAAACUCUUGGAAUUUUUUUAUCUAAGUUUUUAUUUACACUUAUUGGAUGUCUACACAUUUGCUAGAAAACUAAAAUAAUUUGGACUUAAUUAUUUCUUUCAACUGAAGUACUCACUAAAUUUCUACCUUUUUAUUUAAGCAAGAGAGUUGCUAAAAAAAAUGGAUACGUAACCAUGUUGUAUCAUACAAAGUAACCACGUUUCACAUAUAGUCCGGCUUAGCAAACACCAUUGUUUUCUGAACAUAGCGUACAUGAGUUAACAGACAUGGAUUUAUUUCUAUUGCAAGUAGCAUAGCGUACAACCUGCCUGCACCGAUGCAGCUCAAUAUGCGAUAAUUUUUAUCUUCCCAUGUAAUUUUUCUACUCUAGUACAUAUUGAACUCCACAUUAAUGUCAUGUUCUUUCGCGCCCCAGAAGGUUCCUAAAGUUUGGAAACUUAAUAGAUAGCCAGAAUUUUUUUUAAAGAUAUUUAUAUGGAUACUUGUAUGUUCUUUCCAAACUAACAAUAUUGUUUACCAAUAUCAGAAGGAAUAUGGUUAGGAGCCAUUGCCGCAUAUGGCAGGUGAUGGUAGAUGGCGUAUGGGGUUUCGUUAAUUUAAUGGUAUAAUAAGCUGAAAUACAUUUUCUAUUUGCAAAUGAAUCAUAGCUGAAAUUGGUGGGAUUGUUUUUUCGCCGGUUUAGCAUCCUGUGCACCAGUUCAACCGGAGGGAAGCUGUUUUUUUUCUUUGGUUUUCCACCGGUUCACCGAGACCGAUGACAAUUUUAUGGCAGAAUCAUUACUUGUUUUACUAUUAGGUGAAGAUUUUAGCGUUUAGGUAUCUCACAUUAAACGCAACUUCAACAAUCUAUUUCUAGUGUAUAAUGUAGGAGACCCCGUAAAGAGUCUACACACACAUAUAUGUUGACUAUGAAUGUAAGUUUGUUGGUUUUAUGUAUGUUCGUUUGGAGUUUAUAUAAAUUUUACAUUUUAUAGUUUUGUGUAUAUGACGAAGAUCCAUGACUUGCAUUAAUUUAGCCUUUCUUCCAACAACUCUUAUGCAUGCUGUUUCUAGGCGAGCGUACUGGUUGCAAUUUUGGUCCCCGAUAUAGUGUGAGGACUUAAGGGACACGUGCAGGUCGUAACCUUAGAUAUUUUUGCUGAGAAUGGAUGAAGAAGCAAUAAUAUACUUUGCUUCUGAUUUUCUCCAUGUCAUUUGCUUACUCUUAUCCCUUUUAUUUAUCAUUAUAAGAUGAAAAUAUUGUAAAAACUUGGCUACGUGCGGUCGCAGAAGCUAGAGACUAAAGCGUCCCCCACGAGUUACUAUAUAAAAGGAUUGCAUCCUCUACUCAGUCAUAUGUACUGUGUAGGUGAGAUGGUAAGGAAGCUAUGUGUGAGGCUUGAGGUUGUAGGUUCGAAUCCCACGCACCGCGUGCGCAUGCGCAUAUUUUGCGUGAAAAAUCGCAUGACUUGUGGUCGGCCAAGGAGAAGUGCGUGCGGCUGAGGCACGCCGCCAUAGACAUCUCGGAUUUGCUCCAAGACUACCAAGACACUAGCGAACCCUUAACGGCAAAGUUGAGUACUUACGCGUGUUAGCAUCUAUGUUGUCCAUGCUUCCAAUGCAAUAACAAGAAGGGCUACUCAUCCUAGCGGAUUCUUCACAACCACUCGUAAAGCUAUGCGUUUCUCAAUGCAAUUUCGUAGAUGUCAAUCGAUCCAACCAAGCGACUGAAUCAUUCGUCCUUGCUAAUGAUGUGCAUCAGGUUUUCUAUAUGAAGAACAUGUCUAGCAAAUCCAAGAUUUCAGAAGAAAAAUAAAAAUCAUGAGAACCAAAGCACCACGUAGUUCUUCCAGGUAAAAAAAACAAUCAUCCACUGGGAUGACACACAGUAGCGAUCCAAAACGUCCAUAUUAAGACUUUUUGAUAGCAGAAAAAACAUGAAAAUGUCUAAUAUUUGUAGUAUUAAAAGGAAAAAUAAUAUAUUCACUUGACCUUUUUUUCGUAGCAACGCACCGGUGCGUAGUCAGACUUAGGCCACGUUUGGAUACUCCCUACUAAAGUUUAGCACCUGUCACAUAGGAUGUUUGGAUACUAAUUAGGAGUAUUAAACAUAGGCUAAUUAUAAAACUAAUUGAAUAGAUGGAGUCUAAUUUGCGAGACGAAUCUAUUAAGCCUAACUAGUCCAUGAUUUGACAAUGUGGUGCUACAGUAACCAUUUGCUAAUGGUGGAUUAAUUAGGCUUAAUAGAUUCGUCUCGCGAAUUAACAUAGGGUUCUGCAAUUAAUUUUAUAAUUAGCUCAUGUCUAGUCCUUCUAAUUAGCAUCCGAACAUCUGAUAUGAUACUGCUAAAGUUUAUCACCUAGUAUCCAAAUACCCCCUUAAUGCACGAUGCCUGUGCAUCCACUGGGCCUACCCUCGUGGAUCACGCGCUCGUGGAUCACGCGCACCAUGACAUGGCUCAUUAGCUAGUCGUGCUAAUCCUUACCACCAAAUUAAAAACUAGCAUGUGUUGUGUGUUUGUGACCCUAAACGACUACCACCUUCCCGAGUCCACCGGAGUUGCCAGUUCACCACUAAGCUGACUCUCCGAGCUUCAUGUCACUGUCACCGCUCCAAAGACCUAGAUCGGUUCGCUGUGCACCCCGCUUCGUCCUGAGCUAAAUCCCAUCACGAAAGGUGACCGGAUGCUCGUUUUCGAGCGAAUUCUAGCGAGAUUGCCACCACCUUUCCCCUUCCAGCCGAUCGCAGCUGUCUGAUCACAAACCGACAGCCCAGAUCGGAUUUGACCAGGUCAAUACCGGUCAAGCCGAGAUGCAUGCUGCUUUUGCAAGAAGGCCCCUAUUUUUCUCUCGUUUUGCACUUGAGGUCCUACGCAGUUCAAAAGUAAUUAGAUCUAGAUCCUUUUUCUUCUGUUUUAGCCCUGUUCUUUUAUAAAAUCCCACCCGCCAUCCUGUUUGGUAUUUUGACAUGUUAGACCUUCUAUUUAUAUGUUUAAUUAGGUUUUAGCCCUUGGUUUCUUUAAGUUUAGCUCUUGGAAGUUUAGUUUUCUCGCAGUUAAGCCCCUGAACCUUGUUUAGUUCAUAUCUUUAGCGUUUUAAAUCCGUUUUAAGAGAUUCUUACGCCCAUAAGUUCGUGUUGAUGCAUAGAUUAGUUGACUUAUACGGACCUUGCUGAUUCAGCUCCUUCAUUGUGCUUCAGAUCUCGCUAGUGAAGAAUAAUGGAUGGGCUUUGGUUGAGCUUGUAGAUCGACCUGCAGUUGCAGUGAAUGUGCUGAGGACUGGCGGUACCAAUAAUGGGAGGCCGCUGCUCUGCUUGCUACCAAGGCCUGCGACGCUUGGACGCCAUUCAGAGUGCAUAAUUUCCAAGGAUCUCAAGGGCUCCACACCACGUUCCAAGUGUUUUUUCUUUGCCGAGUGUUUUUAGCUCGGCACUUGGCAAAGAGCUUGUUUGCCGAGUGUCCGAAAAAAACACUUGGCAAAGAGAAAACACUCGGCAAAUUUGAUGUUUCCCGUAGUGAUGUACUAUUCAAACUUGAACUGGGAUGCAGGCUUCAGUACCAAAGAGAGCUCUGGGCGCGGGUGAGCAGUGAGCUGGCCGGGCAGGGAGCUCCAAAGCGACAGCAACAAAGAGAGAAAUGCUAAGAGUAAGAACGACACACGAGGUCACUUCACAUAGAUAAUAGCAGUACGAACCAUACAAUAUCCUCUCUCAGUUUCACUCCGCCUCACACACGGCUAGCACACCAUGCAUGCCGAUUUCAUAUUAUUAAUAUUAUUUUUUGGAUGGUUGUUGAAACUAUAUAUAUAGUUAGUCCAAUCUCACGUUUCCGAUUAUAAAAAUCAACGUAAAGAGAUCGGUAGGGAGAGCCGGCAUAAUGAAGCCGACGCGUGUAAUAAGCACCAGAGCCGGCAUUUAUACAAACUGGUACGAAUAGUAAAAAACUAGAAUUUAUAAAUAAAAAAAUGAUUUGCACAUCUAUGCAAUAAUUAGGGGUUAGUGGCAGGUCUAGAGAGAUAUCUCAUCAUUAUAUCCGGUUUAACGAGGAUAAAAAAGAGUGUAUUUUCCACUCAUCAUGUUGUCUUUUCGCAGCGGUACCACUUUUCGUGUGUUGUAUCGGUCCCCUAAUACGGAGUCUCCGAGGCCCGAGAAAAUAAGGAAAGUGAUAGUAGCCCAGAAAUCGGCCAAGUUUCUUUCCCCUUUGGCUUUCCUACUAGGAUUCAGAAUCCUCUUUCGCAUGACAAUCUUAAUUAUCUCCCAUACUCCAAAACUCACAAAAACAUCAAGAGUCCGCUGAGAAUAAAUUUAAGUAAAAAACAUGCACACACAGAUAAUAAUAAUAAUCAUGUUUCCAUAAAAUUGCUAAGUCCAGAGAUAAUACAUAAACAUAGUAGACUGUUCAUGACACAUAUCACGGUGGACAGUGUUUGUGUCCUUAUUACAAGCAACGAGAGAUGCUCGUCACCAACACGCGCGCGCACAGAUGCACGACAUACAUAUAGUAGAGACCAACAGAUGGUCGUCCCAUAUGGUGAACAAUUUAUUGGAGAUAAAUAUUAACGUAACUUGGCCAUAGCUUGAAGCAUAGCAACAUAUGCCUAUGAGUGGCAUUCAUGCUAUCGUUUUAGGCUUGUCCAGCUCCUUCCAUCUUAGCAAGCACUUCCAUUUCUACCAUCUUAGCAGCAACUGUCAAAUUGAGAUACGGAAAUCCCAUUAGCGCAUGAGUUAAUUUUGCAGUGGAAAUAGAGUACAAGAUGUCUUCAUGAUGUAAGUAAUAUGCCUGAAGUUGUGAGAUGGGAAGUGAAGUCAACAAAUUACAUUAACGGAAAUGCAUGGAAGGCCACACAUACGUAUUAGUCCAUGAUAUGCUACAAAGCUUGUAUGUACAUAUAGCAAAUUAAAUGCAUUAAUUGAAUAGAGUGUGUUUAGUGAAUUUACCAGAAUCGUCCAGAAAACAUGGGAAACAGCAAGUGUUCUUGCAGACUGCGUCGGAGGCACCCGCACGAAUACAAAGCUGACAACAUAGUUUUGCCUGGGCGGAUGCGCAGCAGCCGCACUCCGCCGCGGUGGGGUUAACAUUGAGGCUCAAGAUGACCAGGCACAUGAUCACCAUCAAAGUGGUAGUCCUCUUUCCCUCCAUUGCCUCCUCUUAGCUUGCUGCUACCUUCCUUGGUUACCUAGCUAAGUUUAUUGGUUUUGUGUUGAGAGGUGUGAUUCUUGAAUGGACGUUGCCGGCGGCAAUUUAUAGGCAGCUGAGCUAUGUGAUGAUAUGGACUAGGUGCAAAUGGGUGGUUAAUGGCAAGGAAAGGGGCGUCAGACAAAGCCCAAUGGCAACUGCUGACAUGCGAUUAAAUUCAGAUCCACAUCCGGCCAUUCAAUAAUACGGUUGGAGUUGUGGCACAGAUAUAUUAUUGCAUGAUCAUCAAGAUAAGAUCGUACAGUGACUGAGUGAGACAAUAAAUAGCCAAGUAAACUAUUUUAUCCUGCUGCAAGCUGCAUUCAUAAGUUUAUUUCACCUUUGAUCACAAUACUCUUCACACACGUACGUCUCAGGGAGAUCUCACUUCCGCUGGACUGCUCACUUCCGCUGUCGUCGGUACUGCCAAAGACAUAAGCUCACAUCUGCUAUUGCGGAGCAGGCCAAUUUGCUGCGGAACUUCGGCGACGACCUGAAGGACAUGAACUCGGUGCUGGAGUCCAUCUCAGCAGCGCUCUAGGACGCUGACACCGGUAGAAAAACGACCUUCCAUCGUCAACAAAAAUCCCGGUAGCUUUUUUACUCGGUACUAAAGAGGUUUUAAUCUCGUGCAAACACCUUUAGUCCAGAUUGCUAUUACCACGCAACCCGGACUAAAGCGUCCCCCGCGAGUUAGUAUAUAAGGAUUGCAUCCUUUACUCAGUCAGAUAUAAUAUGUAGGUGAGAUGGUAAGGAAGCUAUGCGUGAGGCUUCAGGUUGUGGGUUCGAAUCCAAGUGGGUGCAGCUGUGGCUUAAGCGGCUGAGGCACGCCGCCAUAGACAUCUCAGAUUUGCUCGAAGACUACCAAGACACUAGUGAACCCUUAACAGUAAAGGUGAGUACUUAUGAAUGUCAGCAUCCAUGUUGUCCAUGCUUCCAAUGUAAUAACAAGAUGGACUACUCUUCCUAGCGGACUCUUCACAACCACUCGUAAAGCUAUGCGUUUCUCAAUGCAAUUUCGUAGAAGCCAAUCGAUCCAACCAAGUGACUAAAUCAUUCGUCCUUUCCAAUGAUGUGCAUCAGGUUUUCUAUAUGAAGGGCAUGUCUAGCAAACCUAAGAUUUCAGAAGAAAAAGAAAAAUCAUUGGAGCCAAAGAGCCACAUAGUUCUUCUAGGAAAAAAAUCAUGGGAGUCGAGAACAUAUCAAACCAAUCAGGGGAUUAUGGUCAGCUUAAUGGCAUGCCUCCAUUCGAUGUCGAAGUUCACCCAAGCAUCAUGUUAGCCAAACAUCAAAUGUUCGUGCGUUGUUACGGUAAAGAUCAAUUGUGUUUUUUAAACUCUUGGAAUUUUUUUAUCUAAGUUUUUAUUUACACUUAUUGGAUGUCUACACAUUUGCUAGAAAACUAAAAUAAUUUGGACUUAAUUAUUUCUUUCAACUGAAGUACUCACUAAAUUUCUACCUUUUUAUUUAAGCAAGAGAGUUGCUAAAAAAAAUGGAUACGUAACCAUGUUGUAUCAUACAAAGUAACCACGUUUCACAUAUAGUCCGGCUUAGCAAACACCAUUGUUUUCUGAACAUAGCGUACAUGAGUUAACAGACAUGGAUUUAUUUCUAUUGCAAGUAGCAUAGCGUACAACCUGCCUGCACCGAUGCAGCUCAAUAUGCGAUAAUUUUUAUCUUCCCAUGUAAUUUUUCUACUCUAGUACAUAUUGAACUCCACAUUAAUGUCAUGUUCUUUCGCGCCCCAGAAGGUUCCUAAAGUUUGGAAACUUAAUAGAUAGCCAGAAUUUUUUUUAAAGAUAUUUAUAUGGAUACUUGUAUGUUCUUUCCAAACUAACAAUAUUGUUUACCAAUAUCAGAAGGAAUAUGGUUAGGAGCCAUUGCCGCAUAUGGCAGGUGAUGGUAGAUGGCGUAUGGGGUUUCGUUAAUUUAAUGGUAUAAUAAGCUGAAAUACAUUUUCUAUUUGCAAAUGAAUCAUAGCUGAAAUUGGUGGGAUUGUUUUUUCGCCGGUUUAGCAUCCUGUGCACCAGUUCAACCGGAGGGAAGCUGUUUUUUUUCUUUGGUUUUCCACCGGUUCACCGAGACCGAUGACAAUUUUAUGGCAGAAUCAUUACUUGUUUUACUAUUAGGUGAAGAUUUUAGCGUUUAGGUAUCUCACAUUAAACGCAACUUCAACAAUCUAUUUCUAGUGUAUAAUGUAGGAGACCCCGUAAAGAGUCUACACACACAUAUAUGUUGACUAUGAAUGUAAGUUUGUUGGUUUUAUGUAUGUUCGUUUGGAGUUUAUAUAAAUUUUACAUUUUAUAGUUUUGUGUAUAUGACGAAGAUCCAUGACUUGCAUUAAUUUAGCCUUUCUUCCAACAACUCUUAUGCAUGAUGUUUCUAGGCGAGCGUACUGGUUGCAAUUUUGGUCCCCGAUAUAGUGUGAGGACUUAAGGGACACGUGCAGGUCGUAACCUUAGAUAUUUUUGCUGAGAAUGGAUGAAGAAGCAAUAAUAUACUUUGCUUCUGAUUUUCUCCAUGUCAUUUGCUUACUCUUAUCCCUUUUAUUUAUCAUUAUAAGAUGAAAAUAUUGUAAAAACUUGGCUACGUGCGGUCGCAGAAGCUAGAGACUAAAGCGUCCCCCACGAGUUACUAUAUAAAAGGAUUGCAUCCUCUACUCAGUCAUAUGUACUGUGUAGGUGAGAUGGUAAGGAAGCUAUGUGUGAGGCUUGAGGUUGUAGGUUCGAAUCCCACGCACCGCGUGCGCAUGCGCAUAUUUUGCGUGAAAAAUCGCAUGACUUGUGGUCGGCCAAGGAGAAGUGCGUGCGGCUGAGGCACGCCGCCAUAGACAUCUCGGAUUUGCUCCAAGACUACCAAGACACUAGCGAACCCUUAACGGCAAAGUUGAGUACUUACGCGUGUUAGCAUCUAUGUUGUCCAUGCUUCCAAUGCAAUAACAAGAAGGGCUACUCAUCCUAGCGGAUUCUUCACAACCACUCGUAAAGCUAUGCGUUUCUCAAUGCAAUUUCGUAGAUGUCAAUCGAUCCAACCAAGCGACUGAAUCAUUCGUCCUUGCUAAUGAUGUGCAUCAGGUUUUCUAUAUGAAGAACAUGUCUAGCAAAUCCAAGAUUUCAGAAGAAAAAUAAAAAUCAUGAGAACCAAAGCACCACGUAGUUCUUCCAGGUAAAAAAAACAAUCAUCCACUGGGAUGACACACAGUAGCGAUCCAAAACGUCCAUAUUAAGACUUUUUGAUAGCAGAAAAAACAUGAAAAUGUCUAAUAUUUGUAGUAUUAAAAGGAAAAAUAAUAUAUUCACUUGACCUUUUUUUCGUAGCAACGCACCGGUGCGUAGUCAGACUUAGGCCACGUUUGGAUACUCCCUACUAAAGUUUAGCACCUGUCACAUAGGAUGUUUGGAUACUAAUUAGGAGUAUUAAACAUAGGCUAAUUAUAAAACUAAUUGAACAGAUGGAGUCUAAUUUGCGAGACGAAUCUAUUAAGCCUAACUAGUCCAUGAUUUGACAAUGUGGUGCUACAGUAACCAUUUGCUAAUGGUGGAUUAAUUAGGCUUAAUAGAUUCGUCUCGCGAAUUAACAUAGGGUUCUGCAAUUAAUUUUAUAAUUAGCUCAUGUCUAGUCCUUCUAAUUAGCAUCCGAACAUCUGAUAUGAUACUGCUAAAGUUUAUCACCUAGUAUCCAAAUACCCCCUUAAUGCACGAUGCCUGUGCAUCCACUGGGCCUACCCUCGUGGAUCACGCGCUCGUGGAUCACGCGCACCAUGACAUGGCUCAUUAGCUAGUCGUGCUAAUCCUUACCACCAAAUUAAAAACUAGCAUGUGUUGUGUGUUUGUGACCCUAAACGACUACCACCUUCCCGAGUCCACCGGAGUUGCCAGUUCACCACUAAGCUGACUCUCCGAGCUUCAUGUCACUGUCACCGCUCCAAAGACCUAGAUCGGUUCGCUGUGCACCCCGCUUCGUCCUGAGCUAAAUCCCAUCACGAAAGGUGACCGGAUGCUCGUUUUCGAGCGAAUUCUAGCGAGAUUGCCACCACCUUUCCCCUUCCAGCCGAUCGCAGCUGUCUGAUCACAAACCGACAGCCCAGAUCGGAUUUGACCAGGUCAAUACCGGUCAAGCCGAGAUGCAUGCUGCUUUUGCAAGAAGGCCCCUAUUUUUCUCUCUUUUUGCACUUGAGGUCCUACGCAGUUCAAAAGUAAUUAGAUCUAGAUCCUUUUUCUUCUGUUUUAGCCCUGUUCUUUUAUAAAAUCCCACCCGCCAUCCUGUUUGGUAUUUUGACAUGUUAGACCUUCUAUUUAUAUGUUUAAUUAGGUUUUAGCCCUUGGUUUCUUUAAGUUUAGCUCUUGGAAGUUUAGUUUUCUCGCAGUUAAGCCCCUGAACCUUGUUUAGUUCAUAUCUUUAGCGUUUUAAAUCCGUUUUAAGAGAUUCUUACGCCCAUAAGUUCGUGUUGAUGCAUAGAUUAGUUGACUUAUACGGACCUUGCUGAUUCAGCUCCUUCAUUGUGCUUCAGAUCUCGCUAGUGAAGAAUAAUGGAUGGGCUUUGGUUGAGCUUGUAGAUCGACCUGCAGUUGCAGUGAAUGUGCUGAGGACUGGCGGUACCAAUAAUGGGAGGCCGCUGCUCUGCUUGCUACCAAGGCCUGCGACGCUUGGACGCCAUUCAGAGUGCAUAAUUUCCAAGGAUCUCAAGGGCUCCACACCACGUUCCAAGUGUUUUUUCUUUGCCGAGUGUUUUUAGCUCGGCACUUGGCAAAGAGCUUGUUUGCCGAGUGUCCGAAAAAAACACUUGGCAAAGAGAAAACACUCGGCAAAUUUGAUGUUUCCCGUAGUGAUGUACUAUUCAAACUUGAACUGGGAUGCAGGCUUCAGUACCAAAGAGAGCUCUGGGCGCGGGUGAGCAGUGAGCUGGCCGGGCAGGGAGCUCCAAAGCGACAGCAACAAAGAGAGAAAUGCUAAGAGUAAGAACGACACACGAGGUCACUUCACAUAGAUAAUAGCAGUACGAACCAUACAAUAUCCUCUCUCAGUUUCACUCCGCCUCACACACGGCUAGCACACCAUGCAUGCCGAUUUCAUAUUAUUAAUAUUAUUUUUUGGAUGGUUGUUGAAACUAUAUAUAUAGUUAGUCCAAUCUCACGUUUCCGAUUAUAAAAAUCAACGUAAAGAGAUCGGUAGGGAGAGCCGGCAUAAUGAAGCCGACGCGUGUAAUAAGCACCAGAGCCGGCAUUUAUACAAACUGGUACGAAUAGUAAAAAACUAGAAUUUAUAAAUAAAAAAAUGAUUUGCACAUCUAUGCAAUAAUUAGGGGUUAGUGGCAGGUCUAGAGAGAUAUCUCAUCAUUAUAUCCGGUUUAACGAGGAUAAAAAAGAGUGUAUUUUCCACUCAUCAUGUUGUCUUUUCGCAGCGGUACCACUUUUCGUGUGUUGUAUCGGUCCCCUAAUACGGAGUCUCCGAGGCCCGAGAAAAUAAGGAAAGUGAUAGUAGCCCAGAAAUCGGCCAAGUUUCUUUCCCCUUUGGCUUUCCUACUAGGAUUCAGAAUCCUCUUUCGCAUGACAAUCUUAAUUAUCUCCCAUACUCCAAAACUCACAAAAACAUCAAGAGUCCGCUGAGAAUAAAUUUAAGUAAAAAACAUGCACACACAGAUAAUAAUAAUAAUCAUGUUUCCAUAAAAUUGCUAAGUCCAGAGAUAAUACAUAAACAUAGUAGACUGUUCAUGACACAUAUCACGGUGGACAGUGUUUGUGUCCUUAUUACAAGCAACGAGAGAUGCUCGUCACCAACACGCGCGCGCACAGAUGCACGACAUACAUAUAGUAGAGACCAACAGAUGGUCGUCCCAUAUGGUGAACAAUUUAUUGGAGAUAAAUAUUAACGUAACUUGGCCAUAGCUUGAAGCAUAGCAACAUAUGCCUAUGAGUGGCAUUCAUGCUAUCGUUUUAGGCUUGUCCAGCUCCUUCCAUCUUAGCAAGCACUUCCAUUUCUACCAUCUUAGCAGCAACUGUCAAAUUGAGAUACGGAAAUCCCAUUAGCGCAUGAGUUAAUUUUGCAGUGGAAAUAGAGUACAAGAUGUCUUCAUGAUGUAAGUAAUAUGCCUGAAGUUGUGAGAUGGGAAGUGAAGUCAACAAAUUACAUUAACGGAAAUGCAUGGAAGGCCACACAUACGUAUUAGUCCAUGAUAUGCUACAAAGCUUGUAUGUACAUAUAGCAAAUUAAAUGCAUUAAUUGAAUAGAGUGUGUUUAGUGAAUUUACCAGAAUCGUCCAGAAAACAUGGGAAACAGCAAGUGUUCUUGCAGACUGCGUCGGAGGCACCCGCACGAAUACAAAGCUGACAACAUAGUUUUGCCUGGGCGGAUGCGCAGCAGCCGCACUCCGCCGCGGUGGGGUUAACAUUGAGGCUCAAGAUGACCAGGCACAUGAUCACCAUCAAAGUGGUAGUCCUCUUUCCCUCCAUUGCCUCCUCUUAGCUUGCUGCUACCUUCCUUGGUUACCUAGCUAAGUUUAUUGGUUUUGUGUUGAGAGGUGUGAUUCUUGAAUGGACGUUGCCGGCGGCAAUUUAUAGGCAGCUGAGCUAUGUGAUGAUAUGGACUAGGUGCAAAUGGGUGGUUAAUGGCAAGGAAAGGGGCGUCAGACAAAGCCCAAUGGCAACUGCUGACAUGCGAUUAAAUUCAGAUCCACAUCCGGCCAUUCAAUAAUACGGUUGGAGUUGUGGCACAGAUAUAUUAUUGCAUGAUCAUCAAGAUAAGAUCGUACAGUGACUGAGUGAGACAAUAAAUAGCCAAGUAAACUAUUUUAUCCUGCUGCAAGCUGCAUUCAUAAGUUUAUUUCACCUUUGAUCACAAUACUCUUCACACACGUACGUCUCAGGGAGAUCUCACUUCCGCUGGACUGCUCACUUCCGCUGUCGUCGGUACUGCCAAAGACAUAAGCUCACAUCUGCUAUUGCGGAGCAGGCCAAUUUGCUGCGGAACUUCGGCGACGACCUGAAGGACAUGAACUCGGUGCUGGAGUCCAUCUCAGCAGCGCUCUAGGACGCUGACACCGGUAGAAAAACGACCUUCCAUCGUCAACAAAAAUCCCGGUAGCUUUUUUACUCGGUACUAAAGAGGUUUUAAUCUCGUGCAAACACCUUUAGUCCGGAUUGCUGUUACCACGCAACCCGAACUAAAGCGUCCCCCACGAGUUACUAUAUAAGGAUUGCAUCCUUUACUCAGUCAGAUAUAAUGUGUAGGUGAGAUGGUAAGGAAGCUAUACGUGAGGCUUCAGGUUGUGGGUUCGAAUCCAAGGAGAAGUGGGUGCAGCUGUGGCUUAAGCGGCUGAGGCACGCCGCCAUAGACAUCUCAGAUUUGCUCGAAGACUACCAAGACACUAGUGAACCCUUAACAGUAAAGGUGAGUACUUAUGAAUGUCAGCAUCCAUGUUGUCCAUGCUUCCAAUGUAAUAACAAGAUGGACUACUCUUCCUAGCGGACUCUUCACAACCACUCGUAAAGCUAUACGUUUCUCAAUGCAAUUUCGUAGAAGCCAAUCGAUCCAACCAAGUGACUAAAUCAUUCAUCCUUUCCAAUGAUGUGCAUCAGGUUUUCUACAUGAAGGGCAUCUCUAGCAAACCCAAGAUUUCAGAAGAAAAAGAAAAAUCAUUGGAGCCAAAGAGCCACAUAGUUCUUCCAGGAAAAAAAAAUCAUGGGAGUCGAGAACAAAUCAAACCAAUCAGAGGAUUAUGGUCAGCUUAAUGGCAUGCCUCCAUUCGAUGUCGAAGUUCACCCAAGCAUCAUGUUAGCCAAACAUCAAAUGUUCGUGCGUUGUUACGGUAAAGAUCAAUUGUGUUUUUUAAACUCAUGGAAUUUUUUUUCUAAGUUUUUAUUACACUUAUUGGAUGUCUACACAUUUGCUAGAAAACCAAAAUAAUUUGGACUUAAUUAUUUCUUUCAACUGAAGUACUCACUAAAUUUCUACCUUUUUAUUUAAGCAAGAGAGUUGCUAAAAAAAAUGGAUACAUAACCAUGUUGUAUCGUACAAAGCAACCACAUUUCACAUAUAGUCCGGCUUACCAAACACCAUUUUUUACUGAACAUAGCGUACAUGAGUUAAGAGACAUGGAUUUAUUUCUAUUGCAAGUAGCAUAGCGUACAACCUGCCUGCACCGAUGCAGCUCAAUAUGCGAUAAUUUUUAUCUUCCCAUGUAAUUUUUCUACUCUAGUACAUAUUGAACUCCACAUUAAUGUCAUGUUCUUUGGCGCCCCAGACGGUUCCUAAAGUUUGGAAACAAAAUAGAUAGCCAGAAAUUUUUUUAAAAAAUAUUUAUAUGGAUAUUUGUAUGUUCUUUGCAAACUAACAAUAUUGUUUACCAAUAUCAAAAGGAAUAUGGCUAGGAGCCAUUGCCGCAUAUGGCAGGUGAUGGUAGAUGGCGUAUGGGAUUUCGUUAAUUUAAUGGUAUAAUAAGCUGAAAUACAUUUUCUAUUUGCAAAUGAAUCAUAGCUGAAAGUGGUGAGAUUGUUUUUUCGCCGGUUUAGCAUCCUGUGCACCGGUUCAACUGGAGGGAAGCGGUUCACCGAGACGGAUGACAAUUUUACGGCAGAAUCAUUACUUGUUUUAUUAUUAGGUGAAGAUUUUAGCUUUUAGGUAUCUCACAUUAACAAUCUGUUUCUAGUGUAUAAUGUAGGAGACCCGUAAAGAGUCUACACACACAUAUAUAUGUUGACUAUGAAUGUAAGUUUGUUGGUUUUAUGUAUGUUCAUUUGGAGUUUAUAUAAAUUUUACAUUUUAUAGUUUUGUGUAUAUGACGAAGAUCCAUGACUUGCAUUAAUUUAACCUUUCUUCCAACAACUCUUAUGCAUGCUGUUUCUAGGGGAGCGCACUGGUUGCAAUUUUGGUCCCCGAUAUAGCAUGAGGACUUAAGGGAGACGGGCACGUCGUAACCUUAGAUAUUUUUGCAAGAAGCAAAUUAUACUUUGCUUUUGAUUUUCUCCAUGCCAUUUGCUGACUCUUAUCCCUUUUAUUUAUCAUUAUAAGAUGAAAAUAUUGUAAAAACUUGGUUACGUGCGGUCGCAGAAGCUAGAGACUAUUUCUUUUUUUAAAAAUACGCAAGAGGGAGAAACUUGGUAACAGCUAGACAGUGAAGAUCGCAUUUCAUAAGAAAGAUGGUGCACGUUCUUGUUUGGCUGUUAACGAAAUGACUUCGUUUCACCACACCACCAGAGAGCCCCAUUGCACUUGCAGCAAAAGCGUGGAGCCGCUUUCAACCAGCGUGCAAUAAUGCAGUCCCGCGUGUCUUGGUCUUACAGGAUAUUUGGUUCUUUAGUCCGGACUAAAAUUCAUGUCGCAUAGAAUAUUCAGAUGUUAAAUAGGAGGACUAAACAUGAGCUAAUUAUAAAAAUAAUUACACAAAUGGAGGCUAAUUCCCAAGACAAAUCUAUUAAGUCUAAUUAAUCCAUCAUUAGCACAUGUUUACCGUAGCACCGUAUUGUCAAAUCAUGGACUAAUUAGGCUUAAUAAAUUCGUCUCGCAAGUUAGUCUCCAUCUAUACAAUUUGUUUUAUAAUUAGUCAAUGUUUAAUACUCUAUCUAAACAUUCAAUGUGACUGAAAUUUUAGGAGGUCCUAAAGAACCAAACACCCCUUAGUCUCCGCCUGAACUAUAGCAGGUGCUGGCAGCGGUAGCAGGGUCGUCCAUUAUAUCUAUGGAUGGAAAUGAUCUGAUUCGGAUGGAAUCGAAUUCGAAUAGCACUUUUUACCACAUACUAAUCUGAAUUGGAUGUUCUCGAAUGUGAAUGCAAAACGGAUAGUUCAAAUUUGAAUACUUUGCGGAUUUUUGCAUAAUAUUAAUCGAAGAGAAUUUGUUAAAUUUAGCCGAGACAUAAAUUUUUCUAAAUUCAAAUACUUUGCAGAUUUUCGAAUGCAAAUUUUUUCAUACGAUCUCGGUUGAAUACAAACUUUAUAUCAAAGUUGUAUAUUUAGAUUAUAUAUAAAACUUUGUAGUUGACCUCCUUUUCAUUUAAAAUUUUUUAAUAGCUCAAAACAUUAUUCUAAGCUUUCUAAUUUCAAAAUCUUGAAUUUUAAAUUUUUCAAACGACCUCGGAUGCAAACAAGCUCUAUAUCAAAGUGCUUAAUGAGAUAUAAAAUUUUGUAGUUGACAAGUUUUUUAGUUGAAAACAUUUAGUUAUCACAAACAUACAAGUUCUUCAUUUGAUGUCGAGGAUUGGAAGUGUUGAGUUUGAAGAAUAUAUUCUUUGAUUACAAACUUUUCCAUAUGAUCUUGGAUGAAUACGAACUUUAUUUCAAAGUUGCAAAUUUAGAUUAGACCAAAAACAGUAUAGUUUACAAUUUUUUCAUUCAAAAUUAUUUAGUAGCUCAAAAUGUUAUUCUAAACUCUCUAAUUUUGAAAUCUUGAAUUUUAAAAUUUUCAAAUGACCUCGGAUGCAAACAAGCUCUAUAUCGAAGUGGUAGUUCUUAAUGAGAUAUAAAAUUUUGUAGUUCCAUCUGAGAUCAUUUAACAGUCACAAAUAUACAAGUUUUUCAUAUGAUGCUAAGGAUCAGAAAGAUUAAGUUUGAAGGCUGUAUUUUUUUAAUACAAAUUUUUGCAUACGAUCUCGGAUGAAUACAAACUUUAUAUCAAAAUUGUAGAGCUCGAUGAGAAUUUAAACUUUGUAGUUGAUAUAUUUUUCAUUCGAGAAUGUUUAGUGGUCCAAACAUGUAUUAUAAGUUCAGAGAAGAAACACACAAUCGGCCACGUCAUCAAUUGACAACUUCCAAACUGAGCAUUCCUAUUGGUUCACACCUUUCCCUUUCAACUCGUCAAGCUUAUCUCCUCCCACUCCUCCAUCGUUCACUCCCCCUUCCCCUUCCUCUCUCCCUCCCUCCCUCCGCUCCAGCAGUGGCAGCCCGACCUGCCUCCUAGGACGGUGGUGUGCGGGGCUCGGGCAUCCCUGGCCUCUAGUGGCGUGGCAGGGCGGCCUCCAGCAGCGAUGGCGGAACUCGGCCUCCGGUGGCGCACAGGCAGCGCAGCCUACCUGGUCAAAGGCGGCGCAACAGGGCGACCUCCCCAGCCUCCGGCGGCGCGCAGGGCAUCCAUGACCUCCCCGGCCUCCCUUGCCAGAGGUGGUGCGCGGGGCUGCGCCGACCUCCCCAACCAGAGGUGGCAAGGCCCCAGCUUACGGCGGCGCGUGGCUCCCCAGCUAGGGUGUGGUGGGGCGGCGGCAAGUCAGGCGUGGCCGCGUGGGGGUGGGGGGAGGGGGUUGGGCUGGGCGGAUUCAGAUAGUAUCCAUUUAACCAUCCGAAAUGUGGAUAUCCGUUUAACAAUCCGUUUAGCAAAACCGAAUUUGGAUACUUCCACUUAAGUAUCCAACUAGGAUUCGAAUGCGGAUGGUCCUACCAUAUUGUUAUUUCAGCGGAUACGAAUAUGGGAUAAUUCGAAUAACGACUUACCCAUCCCUGAUUAUAUCCGUGUAAAUAAAUAAUUGCGGCAGCAGGUUCCCGUCGCCACGCCCCCGUCAAACCAAACAAUUGCUUGCGCGACACCGUGUUACUAGAUCUUGUACAGUACUCCCUCCGUUGCAGUACUCCCUAAUGAAAGUUGAGAAUCGAUCGACAACCACGGCUAGUUGCUAUGCACUCGAUCAGAUGGUCCAGGCGCCCGCUGGUAAUCAGGUCGUGGUUCACGCGCAUCAGGCCAGCUAUGACGUUGCCAGCAGUGCUCAGUACACAAAUCUAGCUAUCAGUCGGAUCCAAUUGGGCAGGCAUUUGCACUGUGGUUGUGUUUGAACCUGUAGAUGUCGUUGUCAUUAUCAGGCACCAUACAUCCUCUCUCAGAGGGUGUUUCACCCCCUAAACUUUAGCCCCUCUCACAUCGAAUGUUUUAGAUACUAAUUAGGAAUAUUAAACAUAGAAAAUUUACUAAACCCAUUACAUGGAUGGAGGGUAAACGGCGAGACAAAUCUAUUAAAUCUAAUUAGUCCAUGAUUUGACAAUGUGCUGCUAUAGUAACUAUUUGCUAAUGAUGGAUUAAUUAGACUUAAUAGAUUUUUCUUGCUGUUUAGCCUCCGUCUGUGCAAUUAGUUUUAUAAUUAAUUCAUAUUUAGUCCUCCUAAUUAGUCUCCGAAUAUUUGAUGUGACACGGACUAAACUUUAGAUAGCACACCAGGGACCGACACCAUGCAUGCUGAUUUCAUAUCAUAAUUAAGGAAAGUGAUAUCAUAAUUAAGGAAAGUGGUAGCAUCCAAGAAAUCGAUCAUGUUUCUUCCCCCUUUGGCUUUCCUACUAGGAUUUGGAUAGCGGGCCUUCCUACUAGGAUUUGGAAUCCGCUAUCGCAUGACUAUCUUAAUUAUGUCCCAUAGUCCAAAACUCACAAAACAUCAAAAAUCCAUCGAGAAUAAAUUAAGUAAAAAACAUGCGCACACAGAUAAUAAUAAUAAUAAUCAUGUUUCAAUAAAAUUGCUAAGAUUAGAGAUAGUACAUAAACAUAUUAGAUUGUUCGUGACACAUAUCAUGGUGGAUAGUGUCUGUGUCCUUAUUACAAGCAGCGAUAGAUGCUUGUCACCACACACACGCACGCACAGAUGCACGACAUACAUAUAGUUGAGACCAACGGAUGGACGUCCCAUAGGGUGAAUAAUUUAUUGGAGAUAAAUAUUAACAUAACUUGGCCAUAGCUUGAAGCAUAGCAACAUAUGCUUAUGAAUGGCAUUCAUGCGGGUAGCAAUGCUAUCAUAUGCUUUUAGGCUUGUCCUUAGCUUCUUCCAUCUUAUAGCAAACACUGCCAUUUCUUCCAUCUUAGCAGCAACUGUCAAAUUAAUUGAGAUAUGGAAAUCCCAUUAGCGCAUGAGUUAAUUUUGCAGUGGAAAUAGAGUAGAAGAUGUCUUCAUAAUGUAAGUAAUAUGACUCUGACAUAGGGAGUGAAGUCAACAAAUUACAUUAACGGAAAUGCAUGGAAGGCCACGCAUAUGUAUUAGUCCGAUAUGCUACAAAGCUUGUAUGUACAUAUAAUAAAUUAAAUGCAUUGAAUAGAGUGAUUUUAGUGAAUUUACCUAAAUCGGAUUAAAAAACAUGGGAAACAACAAGUGUUCUUGUAGGGCUUUGUUUAGUUCCCAAAUUGGGAGUAGCAAAGUUUGCAUUUUACCAUAAAUGCGCAACUAUAGCAUGUAGCAUUUUGUUUGUAUUUGUGAAUUAUUAUCCAAACAUUGACUAAUUAGGCUCAAAAGAUUCAUCUCGCAAAGUACAACAAAACUGUGCAAUUAGUUUUUGAUUUCGUCUACAUUUAGUACUCCGUGCAUGUACCGCAAGUUUGAUGUGAUGGGGAAUCUUGCUUUUCAAUAGUGACAAAGUUGGGAUUUCGGGGGGAAGGCCUGUGUCGGAGCCACAUGCAAGAAUGGCUGACAUUGAGGCUCAGACAAAGCCCAAUGGCAACUGCUGACAUGCGAUUAAAUUUAGAUAUCCACAUCCAGCCAUUCACAUUUAUGAGAUAUGGACACGGUGCAAAUGGGUGGGGUCCUGAUAUGGAGGUGCGAAUGGCUGUCUACUUGUAUAGUGUAGCUCCAAUGUACGUAUAUGUAUCUUAUGCAUGUAUACAGUUGCACAAACUCUGAACCAACUCUUCAUAACAGGUCUUUGUUACCAAGUAACUUUACUUUUGCACGUUUCAGCCGAGAGGUAGAAGAGAAUAUUUUUGCAUUUUCCAUGUGCGUCAGUGGUAGAGAACUAGGAAUUAGUUCCGGAUGGUAGGGCACAAAUCUUCCAAACAACUAUCCGAAAUUAAGCAAUCGAGAUAAAGGGUGCCAUCUAUUCUCUCCGAAAAACACAGGUACCAAAAAGAAGAAGAGAAGAGGGAGGGCCUCCCGUUAAGGCCCGCUCGGGGUCUCCAUCCCACCACGCGCCCUCCCAACCCAAAGCCCAUCGUUUUCCCUCCGUCCCUCCCCUCUCCAUUGCCGCCGCCGCUCCCCUCAUCCGAGCUCGAUACGGGUGGUCGGCGGCCCCUCCUCUCCGCUCCCGCCCCCGGCCUCCCUUUGACCGCCGGGCGCCGGCAUCACUGCCGCGGCCAACCCCAGGGCGCAGCGCGUGCCUCUAUUUCUCUCCCCCGUUCAAGGGCCCUUUGAUGGCGACGAGCACCCACCCACCAGGUAUGCCCUCCCCUUCUCUUCCUAACCCUAAUAUAUUCGGAUCUCACCCAGUCACAAUAUAUUACCUAAUAGCUUCGAUUUUGUUUGCAAAAAUCAUCACGUGCGCACCCAUGUCCGCUAGAUUCUUGCGCCUGAUCCUGUGCUGCUAUGGUUUGGGCGGGGUAGACUAGUUGAUUCGUGCACUUUUGGGUGCUUGUAGUGCUAGGUUUUGGAGGGGGAUAGCCCAGUUGAUUCCUCCGUUUUGGGUGCUCAUGGUGAUAGGAUUUGGAUGGGGAUAGCCCCAAUGAUUCGUGCGCCUUUGGGUGCUGGGGAUAGUUUUGGGUGCCUGGAUAGUCCAGUUUCAAUGUCAGUAUAUGCGUAUUUUGGGGAGAAUUUUGUUUUGGGUGGUUCUGGUGCUAGAGUUUCUGAUGCUUAGUAGCCCAGUUUCAAUCAAAUUCCCCCAUGGGUCGUGCACUACGGGAAACAAGAAAAUUGCCGAGUGUAUUUUUUUUGUCGAGUGUUUUUUUUCGAGCACUCAGCAAACAAGCUCUUCGCCGAGUGCCAAGUCAAAAACACUCGGCAAAAAAAAACACUCGGCAAAUCGGGGCUUUGCCGAGUGUCAAAUAAAAAACACUCGGCAAAGAAGGGGGUUUGCCGAGUGUUAAAAAAAACACUCGGCAAACAGGAGGGUUUGCCUAGUGUUUUUUUGACACUCGGCAAAAAAAUAAUUGUUUUUCCUCUUUUCACCUUGAAAUUUUUUCUACUCCCCACAUACAACACGUGGUACUCCAUGUUAAAAUUUGGUAUAUUUUUGGAUUUAUUUGCUAUAUUUAUUUAAUUAAUUGCAUUACAAGGAAAUUUUUGGUAUAAGUCAAAUUUGAACUGCAAGUGAUUCAAAUUGUGGAACAAAAUGAGUAGAAAAAUGAUAUUCAUGUUAUUUGGCUCAAUUUGAGACCUGACCCAUGAAAUGAAAAGAAAUUUCGAACAUCUUGUUCAGGAAACACGACAAUGAACAUGUGGCGGUAGUAUUUUUAAAUUGUAAAAAAAACAAGCAAAGUCUGAAAAUCAUGAGAUUUGUAGUUAUGUGAUGAUAUAAUACGUGGAAGCUGUGGAAAAAAAUUGGAAAGGUUUUGCACAUUUCAUCAUGUACGAUGAUUACAAACCGAAGCAUAUCAGAAGAAGAAUAGUAACUUUGAGAAGGAUUCGAUAAAAUUUAGAGUCGAAGUGACGGUCGAGUUCGGUUUGACUACAAAACUUUUUGUAUAGUCAGUAGAGAACAUAUCUUAUUUCGUGUGAAAAUUUGGUAUUUUUUGAAACUGUUGGAUAUUUUUAAUUUUUUUUUAAAAAAACUUUGCCGAGUGUCCUAGGGUAGACACUCGGCAAAGAAAAACUUUACCGAGUGCCCGCCUAGGACACUCAGCGAACCUUUUUUUAAACCUACCGGCUCCGGCCGGCCCAGCCCACAAACACCACCCGCCCCCCGCCCCCGCGCCUUCUUCCUCACGCCGCCCCCGCCCCCCACCCGUGCCUCCGGACCGCCCCCUCCUCCCCCUGGCCUCCCCUCACGCCGCCCCCCUCCUCCCCUAGCUCCCUCCACCGGCGGCCCUCCCUCCCCCGGCGCACAUCCUCCACUCCUCCUCCCCUUCCCUUCCCUCCCCUCCCCUCCCCUCUUCCUCCCCUGGCCGGAUCUGGCGCCCCUAGCUCCCCUUUCUUCCGCGGCCAGAUCUGGCGCCCUCCCGGCGGCGGGUCGUGGCGAUCGGGGCGGCGGCGGCGGAUCAGGCCGCGGGGCGGCGGCGGCGGCGGGUCGUGGCUACCGGGGCGGCGCCCUGCCCCUCCCCUCCCUCUCCAUCUCCGGCUGCCGUCCACCCCCUCCCCGGAUCCGCCCCCCUCCCCUCCGCGCGGCCAGCCCCUCCUCCCUCUCCGGCCGCCGCCCCGGCCCCUCCUCUCCCUUUCUCCGGCCACCGCCCCGCCCAUCUUCUCUGGAUCCGGCCGGAUCCGGCCGCCGCACAGCCCCUCCUCCCCGGAUCCGGUGGGCGCGGACUUCGUGGUGGUGGCGCCGGAUCCCUCCCCUCCCUCUCCAGAUAACUCCCUCCACUCCUCCGCUCUUCCCCUCUCUCGCGCGGCGGCCUCUCUCCGGCCGCCGCCCCGCCCCUCUCCCCGGAUCCGGGGGGGGGGGGACUCCGCCCCUCUGCCCCGGAUCCAGCUCCCCGACCCGCGAGUGGGGCGAGCUUGCUCAUGCGGUCGACGUCGAGGCCAGGGUGUGGUGGAGGUGGUGGCCGGCGGGUGUGGUGGUGGUGGCGGCGGCGGGCAUGGCGGCGCGGAGGCAAGGCACGGCGGCCGGUGGGAGGCACGGGUGCAAGGCGUCGACGGCAGGAGGCAAGGCACGGCAGCAUGGGAGGUGGUGCUGUGGUGGUGGUGCUGGCGGUGGUGGCGGCGGCGGAGCAGGAUGUGGUGGUGGCGGAGGAUGUUUUUUUUUCAAAAAUUUGUUGCCGAGUGUUUUCUCGGCACUCGGCAAAGACUUUACCGAGUGCCCGACACAAAACACUCGGCAACUCAGUGUUUGCCGACUGAAAAAUUGCCGUGUGCCGUUUGCCGAGUGUUACACUCGGCAAACGGUUCGCCGAGGGUUUUUUGCCCUUCGCCGAGUGCCCCUAGCACUCGGCAAUUUCACUAUCUCCCGUAGUGGUGGCUGGACUUAUGGGGGGAUCAUUGAUGGGGGACUAGUUGGAUACUUUUUGGCUGUUUUGGGAGUCCUUGGCAGCGGCUUCUCAGGGCGUACGUAGCCCAUUGUAGAUUCCAGCCGAGAAGAUUAAGGAAUUGUGACUGCAACCAUGUUACUUUUCUAGGACUCUGUUUCUGAUAUUGUUCCCGCUGCAUCUUUUCAUCCCCAUGGUGAAUGUUGCUGUUGAUCUGUAGAUUGGAUUUGUUCCUCGGUAGCUUUAUUAGAUUUGUGCUGAAUGAUAAUCUCUGCCUGUGAUAUUUUUCUUCAUUGCGGAUGUGUGCCGAGUAUUAUCCCCUUUGUUCAUUCUGUUGGCUUUUUUUAUUGUCUCUGUACUCGGCUGUUCAGCUUGUGCAGCUAAUGAUCUAAUGUAUUUUGUCGUAACUAUGUAUUUUUCGGAUGUGUGCCGAGUAUUAUCCCCUUUGUUUAUUCUGUUGGCUUGCUUUCAUUGAUCUUAAGAUAACUGGUGCUAUAAAUUCACACUAGCUGAUGCACUUGCAAAUAGCUAUGUAAAUAUGAAAAGAAGUAUUUUUUUAUCCUUUUGUUUGUUUGGCAUCAUAUCUGUUUAAAUGGCAUAGCAAUAAGAAUUUUUUGUUUUUGGGGAAUCAUAUCUGCUUAAAUGGUAUAGAAAAUGCUGAGUGCACUGUCAAAUAGAUUUUCCAGCAGUCUGCUUUCAGUUGUUUUUGCAAAUCCUCACAGGCCAGUGAACUGACUUUGUUUUUACCACCCCAUGCCAUUUAAAUGACUAAAUCAGUCAGCCUAAUACUAUAUAUGGUCAUGCUAUGAUCUUAUUUCUUGAAGCUCUAUAGGUCAACCCAUAAGGGUAACUUAGUUUUUCCUAUUCUGGCUGGGGAAGUGGAUACGAUGGCUAUCCUUGGUAGAGUUAAAUACAUUGGCGGCUCUUAGCGCGCCAAUGUGGCACCACAAUAUCGAACAUAUGUAGAAACCCCCUUGUUUUUUCUCAUAUCCCUCUCUCUCAGCGUCCUCUUCUCUUCUUCUCCUCUGUCUCCUCCCCUCCCAUCGCGUGCUUUAUUGCGCCGCCGCCAUCCGCCUCCAUGUAUGAACACGUCGUUUGUCAUGAAGAAGCAGUUGAUGAGGCAAUCAAGCAUGUGGUGCACAAGGUUCUUCUGCUGGCCAAGUCCGAGUCGAACAGCCGCGCAUUCAUUGGGGAAGCACGCGCCAGGCAUCACCAGGCUCCUCGUGCCCCUACUCUGCUCCAAGGACUCGGUGCUUCGACGCGCUGCUUUCCCUGUCCGGCGAGCGGGGAUCGUUGGGAGAUGAUCGAUGGAGGAUGGAGCUGAUCCUCCUGUACACGGUGCCGGUGGGGAGCAGGGAGCUGCGGAGCAGGUCCACGGGCGGCGCCAUUACAGCAGGUGCAGGCUAAGGGUAAUGAGCAGAUCGAGGCGAUGGAGGAGGACCCGCACGAGGUGCAGCUUCUUCGCCUCCUGCGCAAAGUCAGCGCCCAAGCAGCCGCUGAGGGACAGGCCGAGGCUUAGCUCGAUCUCAUCCGACUAAAUGGUGGCUGCACUCCCACAGUCCCACUGGUGCUCCUCCCUUCUGUCCGAACCUGCCGAGGAAAUCCCUCGAUGCCAUGGGUCCCGGCUGGACGACUACUCCUCCCACAGAUUGACUGAGGAAGAAGAGCUUCUCAGUGUCCAAAAAUUCAGUUACACUGGAAACAGCAACCAAUUACGUUCUUCCGGCUCAGCCAAGCCCCAAUCUCCUUGCUUCUGUGCGCCCCUGCUAAAUAUUCCAGAAACCAAUCUGGUUAGUUGUUUUUUCACAUUUUCAGUGCAUGCCGGUGCUGCUGUGUGCGGCAUGCAUGGAGUUGUCGUGGGAGUGCACGGUGGCUUAGCUGGUGCGCCAGUGCGCGGGCACGAACACAACGGUGAAGAUGGCAGGGCCAUCUCAAAGCUCCUGAGCACCUGCACGCGUCGCUGAGCAGGACAUGCUGCGACGGUGGGCGAGCGCUGCUAACGCCCUGGGGAAGAGCAGUGGGUGCAGAGAGAGGGAGCGAGGGAGAGGGGUUCUUGUAUAUGUUUGCUAGCGUGGCACCGUUUACGGUGCCCGCCUAAGUGGCAUUCACGUGUCAUUCAUCCCAAAUGGUGUUGCAAGGUUGAACCUAUUGUGGGAGGCUUUUGGUUUCCCUUGACAGUAUCACCAGUGAUAUCACUGCGUUCUGGUUAUGUAUGAAACACUUGUCCUUUUAAAACCUUUCUGAAUUUAGAAACGAAUUUGAAACAUUACCCUCAUUUCCAUGUUUUUCUAUCUUUUGUCCCUGUAAAAUCAAACUAAAUUUGAAUUAUUAUGUUCAGAACUACAAGCUGAUUUACUUGUCCCAUUUGCUAAUAACAGGGCCUUGUGAUUUCUAAUGAACAUUGCAGAGCAUGUUAUAAAGCGUAUGCAUGAACACCAAGGGGAUGAAACCAUUGGUAUAUUUCUCACAACCUUUUGAACUUAUCAUUUAGCAUAUUUGUGUUCUAGUGUGACGUUUCAGCCACGAGACAUGAGAAAUGUUAGCUAUGGAUUUUGGUUAUUCAUCAUGGGUUCACAGAUUUGUUUUUCUCUAAAAGAAUUGGGAAGUAGCUUUCUUUCUGGGUAUAUGUGGGGAAAUGCAUAUGCAAUCUUUUAUUUAUUGAGGUGACUGUAAAAUUCUUGUCUGACUGAAUAUGCGAUUUCAACCUACAUGCUAUACUUAGGGAAAUUUGUGAAUCUCCUAAUGUCUGCUGCAUGGCAUGAAUGCAUAUUUUACUGGUCCAUAAUGUGAAGUUCUGUAUAUAAACUUCUCGUGUUGACCCUUUAGAACAUGCUAACUGGAGAGUUUUCUAGAGUAGUUAAACAAGAGAUUUAGUUAAAUCUGCACACAUAGGUGGGGCCUGGCAUACCCUAAGAAUCGGCCUAGCCGGUCAGCCCAUUAGUAAAAAAAAAAGCACCGCAGUCAGCAGUCCCCACGUUGGUCUUCCUCGAGUCGCGACUCGCGAAGCUCCCAUCCUCCGAGUCCAAGAUGGUGGACUGUGUCGAGCGCGGGGCGGGCGAUUAGUUGCCCGGCCGCCGGCGGGGGAUGGCCGGACGGCCAGAUCGCCGACUCCUCUAGUCCUCCCUCCAGCCUCUGCGCUUCUUUCACAGUGGAGCUAGCGGCGAGGCGCCCGACCGACACCCUUCUUCCCAAAUCCCGGCAGCCCUACCUCGAUUUGGCCUCCUCCGAUCAUUUGAUAAUCAAUUUGAUGAAAUUAAUAUGGAGUUGCUUUCUUGUAUGGUUGCCUUCAAUCCUGCUAAUUCAUUUGCUUCAUUUGAUGCACAAAAGAUACAUAGACUUGCUAUAUUUUUAUCCACAAGACAUCACAAGCACGGAUUUGCUAAAACUUGAAUUCCAGCUCGAUAUUAUAUUGAUGAUGUGAGAUAGGAUGAUAGUUUCAAAGGCCUACAAGAUCUUGUUAACUGAGACUCAGUUAAGCUUGUUGAAACAAACAGGCAUAAUAUUUAUGACUUGGUUUACUUGCUUCUCAAAUUGGUAUUGGUUCUUCUUGUGGCGACAGCUAGUGUUGAAAGGGAUUUUUGUGCAAUGACUUUGAUCAAGAGUAAGCUAAGAAAUAAGAUGGGUGAUAGUCUUUUGGAUGAUUGUCUUAUCACAUUCAUUGAGAAAGAUAUUUUCUUUGAAGUGGAUGAAGAAGAUAUAAUUAAGACUUCAUAUCCAUUAGAAAUCGUAGGCUGGAGAAGAAGUAAUAUUUUAAUUUUCUUUGAACGUUAGGUCUGUAAGCUUCUUUUAAACUAUCUACAUUAUAAUUUAUGGACCUUUUAAUUUAACCGUUGAAUUCAUGAUAUUAUGAGAUUUUUUUAUCUAUGUUAUUAUUGUUUACCGAUUUAUUACCAAAUUAUUAGUUUGAUCUUACAAUAUUGUAUUUUGGAUGAUUGGCUCGGCAUACUCUAAGUUUAAAUCCUAGCUCCGCCACUGUUUGCACAUUAAUGUGGCUUAUAUGUGUGGAGUCACUUAACCUAUGCACUUGGACCUCCACUCCCUUAGGUUUUAUGAACCUAAUUUGACAGCCUGCUCGUCUUUUAUUUUCUACCAAUCAGCUAGGAACGAACAUGGUGAUGUUUGCAUCUCUGCCAUCAAUGGCUUACAUGUCAUUAUGUAUCACAUUAGCAAGUCUUGUUUUGUUAUUGGCUGGGAUGACGGGGACUCUAGCUGGAAUUGAAUCAAAGUGGUAGAUCACAGGGUAUUCAUUGCCAUGUAUUUCUGCAGUUGCAUGGACUUGCAUCAAACGGACCUUCCUACUUAUGUGAUUGUCCUAUAUGAUCUCCUUUGAUUUCAUUUGCACACUGUAAUCACAUUAGCUAGAACACUCGCUUUUUGCUUCAAAUUUGAAAUUCAUAUCAUGAUGGACUAGAACGCUGAAUUUCUUGAUUGCUGAGUUACUAAUCACAUUGUGGCGCUGCCAAAGAAGCUGGACUCUUCAUUGUUGUUGCCUUGUGGGCUGCCGUGUGCAAAGAACAAGAGCGCACGGUAUUAUAAUAGCAGAGCAGAACACAGACAAGCGACAAGGAGCGGAGCAGAGCAGAGCACAGCCAGGCACAAGCAGUAGAGUAGAGCAGAGCAACCGGGAGAGGAGAGGGCACAUAUGCAGAGUAGAGCAGAGCCAAGCGCAAGCAUUCAUGCACUCAAGCAUGCAGCAGAGGUGUAGCAAGGCAAGCACAAGCAGCAGAGCAGAGGGAAGGGAAGGCUGGGAGAUGAAUAGGCGAAUAGUUACCUGGACAGAGCAGAGGGAAUGGAGAUGAUGCAGAUGCUUCCGGAGACUCGAGAUUUGGAGAGGAACAAGGCCACGUUGUGAACAAGGUCUCCUUUCUCUUCUCUAUUUCCCGCGCAAGUACUUGUGCAUAGUGGCUGCCUCAUCCUCCAGGACGUCCACUUCAACCUGAGGCGGGUGCCACAGACAUCCUGGCUAUGCGACGGCUACCCCCAGCACACCCCCGGCGCCUAUGAACCAUGAUCCUAAUACUAUAAAUUGUCAACCUUGUAAUCUUAUUUCAAGCAUGCUCUCUAUGUCAACCUGUAAGGUUAACUUCGUUUUUCCUUUUCUGGGUAGGGGAGUGGAUAUUGCUGUUAUUUAUAUUAUGUUGAUAUUGGUUUCCACAUGUCAUUCACCCCAAAUGUGUUGCAAGGUUGAACCUAUCAUCGGAGGAAUUUUUUUCCCUUUACCUUUAUAUCACUACGCUCUGGUUAUGUAUGAAACACUUGUCUUCUUAAAAACCUUAAUUUAGAAACAAAUUUGAAACACUAUCUUCAUUUACAUCCUGUAUGUGUUUUCUACCUUUUGUCCUAUAUGAUCUGCUUUGAUUUGAUUUGUGCAUAGUUUUUUCAAUUCAGACCUGGUGAUUUCUGAGGUUCAUGUUGUGCUGAUAAGCAGCCUACUAUUCAGUAACACUUUCAUGUGGCAUGUUCAUGUUAGCUAGCUAGAAACACUGCUUUUAGCUUCAAAAUUCAAAUUCAUGACAUGAUGGACAUUGACAAUGAAUUUCUUGAUUGCCGAGCUAUGUACACUGUAAUUCAGACCUGGUGCUUUUAGUUUUUUUCUUGAUUGCCGAGCUAGAAACACUGUGCUUUUAGUUUUUUCAAUUCAGACCUGGUGAUUUCGGUUUUUUCAAUUCAGACCUGGUGAUUUCUGAGGUUCACGUGUCACACCGAUUUUAAGAACAAAAUCGAGUGCAUUAAAUAUACAUGUACGCUAGGAUCAGGUUACACACAUGUACGACAUAAGCGAAUAUCAAAGACAAUGCCAUAACGAAAUAAAGAGAGUAUUAAUCAUUAUUACAUGACCGAAAGUCUCAAAUAAACCACAAAAUCUAUUUAUUACAUAGCGGAACUUCUAAGAUAGCAACGUCUCCACAGGCAGCUGACUGAAGAACUGUAUGCCUAGAACUCUUCAAAAUCGUGCAGGUACUCCUCCAGAUUAGCUUGGUAUGAACAACGGUUUUGCAAGGGUGAGUACACUUAUGGUUGGUACUUAAUAAGUCGUGGGAAACAAUGUAGUGUAAGGCAAAUCAAGGUAUGGCUAAGGCUUAAACAGCAUCAGCUUUUAAUUUAGUUGGUCAAAUUUUAUUAGCAAUUAAUUAGACGUAAAUUUAUACCACCCGAAAUUAAACAAGAACAUGAAUAAAAUAAUAACAUAACCAUAAAUGAAAUGACAACAAUUUAAAUCCAUCUUUUCAUAGCAUUAUCAUGUGAGGGUCCAGUCCGUUCUUAACCGUGAGCACCGCUGAUCGAUCAGUUUUACACUCUGCAGAGGUUGUACAUCUUUACCCACAAGUCGCGUAAAAGUUCAAAAGAAUUUUGGACCCAACCAUGCGGUAUUUGCAAGGCACCAUACCACACUUCCAAGGUGUGAUUGCAUAUGAACGCUACGAGGCCUUUACAAAGAUUCAUUAGUAAGUGGUAACCCGCUAAGGUUUCGGUAUUUGGCGUGCACAACCUAUCACAGGCCGCUAAUGCAACGACUCAGUCCCCCCUCUUGCCUCAUCACGAGUAAGAUUACCCCAGACUAAGGUUUCUAAUUAUUCAGCCAAGAUCAGAACCAUUUAGUCUUGUGGUAGCACUGUUUUCCUGGGUGGUUCUCCAUGUUCCGAUUAAACAUAAUGGUCUUGUAUUAAUGGAAGGUAUAACAUAAAUAAUACCAAAUUAAUAAUAAUUCAGAUUAAAUCACCAUAACCAUAUUUGAGCACUAAGCAUGAGCUACCCAACAUAAAUUUAACCCGGUUGGUCAAGGCAAGGUAGAUAAAGUCUAGGAAAUUCUUAAUUGGGACCCAUCAAGUUUAAAUUAUACUUUGCAUGGUAUGUUGCAUAGAACAUGAAAGUAAAUGUGAAUAGGACUGAAAAGGAGUGAUUAGGGACACGACUUGCCUUUUUAACCUUGUUCUUGCUGUUCGUACUCUUCGAAAACUUUGAUCUUCAAAUCCCUUGAACUGCUGACCGUCUACACGCGUCACACGACCACAUACAAGCAAACAAAUAUAAUACAUAAGAAAACAGUACACCAAUCAUAAUUAAAUAGAAGAAACAAAUUUGAAAAGCUAUUCUACGCAUUAAAACGAAAACACGGAUACAAGGAACGUUAAAAACGGAGCUACAGUGCAAAAACUACGCUUAAAACAAGAUGCAGGGGUAUAACUACGAGAAACCAAACUUCCAGGGAUUUAAUUUUAAAUAAUUUUGAACUGCAGAAGGGGCAGCAGGGCAAAACGUAGAAAAUGCAGGGGCUUAAGCGCAAAAGCAUGGCUGCUGACUCAGCUGACUUGAUGUGGAUCGUCGGAUGGCGAUCCGGCGGCCGGCAGCUGCUGCGCUGACGUCAGCGACGGCGAGCGCCGGCGAAAAACGGCAGUUCGCCGGAAUCGCCCGGGAACGCGCGACUGGGUGCAGAUUUGAGCGAGGAUUAGACUAGCAGAUAGAAACGAGCGCAGUGAACUCAUUUGGGAUGCCUACGGCGAGGACUUGGCGACGGCAUCGGCUCCGGCGAGAACUUGCGGCAGGGAAACCAAAUAAAAUAAAAUAACACGGUUCAGAGAAGCGGCGCUGGAGGAACGCGAGCGAUUUUGCGUGCGAGCGGAAGAAAACACUGCGAGGAAGAUGACUGCGGGCCCUGCUUGUCUGCGGCAGGAGGAGAGCUGCGUGCGAGAAGAACCUGGCCACGAUCUGGGCCGUUGCCUUCGAUCUGGGCCGAGGCAAGCUAGCUGGCCCGCUGCUGCGGAAAGGUGCUGGGCCACGGGCGGAGCACAGCGUCGGGCCAGAAAGGAGAUGGCUGCUGCGAGGAAACAAAAGAAAAUGAACUGGGCUGCGACAGAGGAAAACUGGGCGUCGGCCAGAAAGAAGCUGCGUGCAGCUUGCUCUUGUUUCCGAACUAGAAACAGGAACUGACGGAAAGACAGAAAUCAAUUGGAGACUGAAACUGACGCCCCAGACUCUGAACUUCGAAAAAACAGGACAACCAGCCAACUGACAGAAAAAAAAAAGCUUAACAACCCAAAAGCAGUACACAACCACGAAACCAGGCCACAAGACUGAAAAAGCUUGAUAGGAACAUCUGGCGACUGAACCAAAAAACUACAGAACUGCAACUGAAGAACUAGAGAACAGAUAAAUAACUGAUUGAACUCUGAAACUGAAACACCAAAGAGCAGGAAGCUGACUGACGGAAAAUGCAAAACAGCAACCCAAGGUGAAACACAAAUUCUUCUUCAAGCAUUCAAACAAAGAGAUAUGCAACAGCAUGAAUGCUCAAUAAAAUCCUAUAUUUCAUUAAUUAAUUAGAAAAAAUGCUCAAAUGCCUAGAAAAAUGCAAAAGUGACCUUAUAUGCCUUAAACAAGCAAAUUCGUUUCUAGCGAUUUUUGGUAAAAUGCAAAAUUAGAGAUUUUGGGUGUUACAUCAUGUUGUGCUGAUAAGCAGCCUACUAUUCAGUAACACUUUCAUGUGGCAUGUUCAUGUUAGCUAGCUAGAAACACUGUGCUUUUAGCUUCAAAAUUAAAUUCAUGACAUGAUGGACAUUGACAAUGAAUUUCUUGAUUGCCGAGCUAUGUACACUGUAAUCACAUUGUGGGGCUGAUAAAAUAAGCAGCGUUGAGACACAUAACAAUUGAAUCUUAAGCUUCACACAGAAUCUGGACCAGUCAUCCUCAUUCCUGUCAUGCUGGAAAUGUCUUUGAUACAUUUCAAUCACAGGCAAUUGAAUUCGUACUGGGGAGGAUGGCAAUGGUGCAUGAAGAGAGAUCAAUGUGGCAAAUCUCACAUUGUUCAUUACCAGGUAUCUCCGAUUUCUGGUUAUUUUAAAUUUACCUUGACAUGUGACUUAUUGAGGUAUUGUAUUUCAUCUAAUGGUAGUUCUGAAUUUAUGGUAACCUUGGAUGGGGUUUGUCACUUUAUACACGCACGGACUUACAAAGGACAGCAAAUGAGUAUAUUUAGAGGGCUCCUGUCCAACCAUGGACUAUACUUAUGUACCCUUUUUUGACAUGGUAAUUUGAGGUUAAUGGAAAAGUAGCGAUAGUCGCCUCCAGCGAAGCUACCUUCUUCGAAAGCUCCGAGGCUGCUUUCUCGCUCUUAGCAAGCCGAUCCCUCGUAAUCAUCGAAGAGUAAGAGACCUACAGAUUUUAAAAACCAAGUUACCAAAAAUAACGAAGUAAAAGACAACACUCGCAAGACAAACCACCAAACUAUCUCAUAAUUGUACCUUCUUUACGAGGUUCGCCUCCAAGUUAAAGAGCUCUUCCAAGAUCAUUGACUUCACAGCUUGCUGAAAAUCUAUGCGCCAAAGGAUAUAGUCGUAAGCAUAAAAUAAAAAUUGGUAAAAACCAAGGACAGCAAAGCCAUCUACAAGCUGUUCUUACCCUCAUACUUUCGCACCUCAACGGCGAUCGGAACAACCUUCUCUCUAGCCUCGCCCUUAGACGCCACCACAAUCUUCCCGCCACACAAAUCCACAACCCCUCCUUUACCUUUGCCCUCUCCCGAAGUCGUCGUGCCCGCCUUCUCCACCCUUUUUGAACCGCCAACAUCUGCAUAGCGCUCGCAACCUUCACCUUCAGCCCCCCAGACCAAAGACAGGUUGUGAGGAUUAUAAACCCUACCUUCGGCGCAUGUAGCUAGAAUCUCCGUGCGCCCGCUCAAGCCCAGACACUCAUUCAGUCCCUGAAGCCCCGCCGGCAACCUCUCACCUACAUCAUAACAUUCAACUUUUAGCCUCACAUGAUCCUCACAACUAACCUUACCAACGCCCCCCAUAGUUUCUUCCAAGUCCUUCAAAAAUUUCGUUGAGGCCUCACCACAAUCAAAGAACCGUAGCAUCGAUAGAAACACCUCUACAUGCUUACCAGAUCUCACAGCUUCGGCACACCCACCCUUUGGAUCAGAUGAGAACGCAUCCACAAGCUUCGCCUUUUCGGUGGCAAACCCCCUCUCAAGUUUCCCAACAUCAGUCAAGAGAUGUUGCGCGCUCUUAAACUUCGAGCUUAUGGAAGGCACCGUGAUCUUGGUACCAGCUGCCGAAGACGCGUCAACCUUGGCACCCGUAACAGUAACAGGAGCAAAUCGAGGUUUCUUGGCGCCUCUUUUGAUCCGUGCGGCGGGCCCGGUGGAUGAAGGUGCAAGAGCUGGAACCUCCUUAGGAGGGCGCAUAGAGACAGGAACAACAUAUGCCGGAUUGCUCAAGUCGCCAGACGAAGCUGUCGACCACGAUGGCAACAUAGCAGACGAAGCCCCCGCGGUCAUUUCCUUCCUUUUUUGCGCCUCCAAAUUCAAGGUCUUUUGCUUCGCCUUAGCGGUCACUUGCAAUUCAAUAGUGAGCUUCACCAUGGGUACGAAGUCAAAUUUUGCCUUUUUCCUCUGCUCAAGACUAGCACCGCGACGGCGCCUCUUGCCCGUAACUUUGGGGUGAGGCAGAACCACAAUAUCAUACAAGUCAAAAAUCUAAGAUGAUGACAUUCCAUUUGUAUCCAUGAUUUAUAUUGUGUUCCUUGAAUAUCCAUUAAAGUCUACUUGAAUUGAUUUGCAAUUAUGUGAAUUGUAUGUGAAACUCUUUCCUUGUAUGGUUAUUCUAAAGUUGUCCCUAGUCGGAGUUCAUGUGAGGACACAUGAAUAUUAGACUAGCACAUGUAUUAGUUGAUGACUAUGUUUCACAAGUCAUGGACAUGAAGAUGUGGAACUAAUAAUGUGGGCACAUGUGGAGACACGUGCUAGGACUGACCCAACACGAGAAGUAGUUCUCUCUUUAUACAACAUAUACGCUUUGUCCUUAGACCUGAGAUUGUCGCAUGUACUCAAGAUGUGGAUCGACUUACUUAGGGGCUAUCAAAUUCUACGCCGUAACAGGGUAGUUAUAAAGGUAGCUUUCGGGUUUGUCAAGAAGCAUGCUAUGAGACAUGGUCAAUCAAGAUGGGAUUUGCCCCUCUCUGAUUGAGAGUGAUAUCUCUGGGCCCCUCGAGUGAUCGGAUCCGAAAAUGCAUGGCCAUGCUACAUACGAUUAAGAGUUAGCCUACAAAAGGAUUCCGAAUCAUAGGAUCGAGAAAGAGCGGUCGGCUUGAAGCUAGACCAAAUAUCGUGAGGCAAAGGGAAUAGCAUGUAUAUAAUGUUGUGAUGGUUCGUCUGAUAUGAUCUUCGUGUGCGUAUAGGAGUUGGCACGUCUUGCUAGAGGUCGCUACCGACUAUUGGGCCGAGUAGGAGUACUCAGGCCAUGUCUAUACGUAUCCGAACCCAUAGGGUCACACACUUAAGGGGCUGGAAGCCCAAUUCGGAUGUGAUCCGAAUUGGAUUAGGUUUAGAAGUACUAAUGGGCCUUGGACCUAGAGGCCCGUUAGGAACCUCUAUAAAUAGAGGGGUGGGGGCGCCCUAGGGUUUACACCUUUUUGGUGAAACACAUCUGCCGCGCCUCCCACGCCUUCGCCUGUUGCAACUCGCGGACCUAGCAGUCCGGCUUGCGACGCUUCCUCCCUGCACGUGUGGAUACCUUGGAAGUGUUGCUCCUGCAGCACUUGGACGAGCCGCCAACGAGCCACGACGAGCCACGAUGAGCCGACGAUGAGCCGCGGCACGAGGGGGAUCUUGCUGCACGUGGACGAGCUGCUGAGGAGCUGCUGGACGUCGAUGUGUUCGACUACGUACGACUACGCUGAUCGACUUCGCUGCAUCAACGCGAAUCUACAUCUUCCGCAUCAUUGCAUCGAGUGGUAAUCCCGUGAUCCUGAUACGGCAGUUUUCCUAGUUUACGCGGUAGAAAAUUUUGUUUUGUGCUAGUGUAGCCUAACUCAUAUCCCAACAACGUGUGCUAUAGGUCACGCAAGCCUGAAAAUGGCCACACCGGACACCGGGUACGAAAACAUGGGGGAUGGACCGAACAUUUGAAAAUGGCCUCCAUAUGUGUUUUCGGCUAUGAAAAUGUGUGUUAUAGGUCACAGAAGCUUGAAAACGGCCGCACCAGCCACUAGGGACGAAAACGUGGGGGAUGGACCAAAGACAUAAAAAAUAGCCUCCAGACGCGUGUUCGGCCAUGAAAACGUGUGGUAUAGGUCCUGGAAGGCCAAAAACAGCUACACCGGCCACCUGGGACGAAAAAGUUUGUGUAAGACCGAACACUUGAAAAUAGCCUCUGGACGCGUGUUCGGCUAUGAAAAGGUGUGUUAUAGGUCACACGAGCCCCAAAACAACCACAGCGAACACCAGCUACAAAAACAUGGGGGAUGGAUCGAAUAAUUGAAAAUGGCCUCCAGACGUUUGUUCGGCCAUGAAAUCGUGCGUUAUAGGUCGCGGGAGCCCGAAAACGGCCACACCGGCCACCGGGAAUGAAAAUGUGGGGGAUGGACCGAACAAUUAAAAAUGGCCUCCGGAUGUGUGUUCGGCCAUGAAAACGUAUGUUAUAGGUCACGGGAGCAUGAAAACGGCCGCACUGGCCACUGGGGACGAAACGUGGGGGAUGGACCGAAGACGUGAAAAUAGCCUCCAGACGCAUGUUCGGCCAUGAAAAUGUGUGCUAUAGGUCAUGCAAGGCCAAAAACAGCUGCACCAGCAACCGGGGACGAAACCAUGGCUGUCAAACCGAACGCUUGAAAAUCGCCUUCGGACGCGUGUUCGGAUAUGAAAACAUGUGUUGUAGGUCACGCGUGCCCGAAAACGUCCACAACGGACACCGGGUACAAAAACGUGGGGGAUGGAUCGAAUAACUGAAAAUGACCUCCGAACGCGUGUUCGGCCAUGAAAACGUGUGUUAUAGGUUGCGGGAGCCCAAAAAUGGCCACACCGGCCACCGAGGAUCAAAACGUGGGGGAUUGACCGAACAAUUAAAAAUGGCCUCCGAUUGUAUGUUCGGCCAUGAAAACGUGUGUUAUAGGUCAUGGGGGCCCAAAAAUGGCCGCACCAGCCACCAAGGACGAAAAUAUGGGAGAUGGACCAAAGACAUGAAAAUGGCCUCCAGAUGCAUGUUUGGACAAAAGUGUGUGCUAUAUGUCGUGCAAGGCCAAAAACAGCUACACCAGCCACCGGGACAAAAACGUGGGUGUUUGACUAAACAAGUGAAAAUGGCCUCCGGAAGCAUGUACGGCUAUGAAAAUGUGUGCUAUAGGUAAUGGAAGGCUAACAAAAGCUACACCGGCCACCGGGGACAAAAUCAUGGGUGUCAGACUGAACACUUCAAAAUGGCCUCCGGACGCGUGUCCGGCUAUCAAAACGUGUGUUAUAGGUCAUGCGAGCCCGAAAACAACCACACUGAACACCGGGUACAGAAACAUGGGGGAUGGACUGAAUAACUGAAAAUGGCCUCUAGACGCGUGUUCGGUCAUGAAAACAUGUGUUGUAGGAUGCGGGAGCCCGAAAACGGCCACACCGGCCACCAGGGCAUGGACCAAACAAUUGAAAAUGGCCUCCGGAUGUGUGUUCGGCCAUGAAAACGUGUGUUAUAGGUCACGGGAGCCCAAAAAUAGCCGCACCGACCACUGGGGAUGAAAUCGUGGGGGAUGGACCGAAGAUGUGAAAAUGGCCUCCAGAUGCGUGUUCGGCCAUGAAAACGUGCGCUAUAAGUCAUGUAAGGCUAAAAAUUGCUACACCGGGACUAAAGCAUCCCCCAUGAGUUACAAUAAAAGGAUUGUAUCCUCUACUCAGUCGGAUGUACUGUGUAGGUGAGAUGGUAAGGAAGCUAUGCGCGAGGUUUGAGGUUGUGGGUUGAAAUCCUACGCACCGCGCGCACACGCGCAUAUUUUGUGUGAAAAAUCAUGUGACUUGUGAUCGGCCAAGGAGAAGUGGGUGCAGCUGUGGCUUAAGUGGCUGAGGCACGCUGCCAUAGACAUCUCCGAUUUGCUCGAAGACUACCAAGACACUAGCAAUAACAAGAACUACUGCUCUUCCUAGCAGACUCUUUACAACCACUUUAAAGCUGUGCAUUUCUCAAUGUAAUUUCGUAGAAGGCAAUCGAUCCAACCAAGCGACUAAAUCAUUUGUUCUUGCCAAUGAUGUACAUCAGGUUUUCUAUAUGAAGGACAUGUCUAGCAAACCUAAGAUUUUAGAAGAAAAAGAAAAAUUAUGGGAGUCAAUAAUAAAUCAGGCCAAUCAGGAGAUUAUAGUAAGCUCGAUGGUAUGCCUCCAUUCGAUGUCGAAGUUGGCCCAAGCAUCAUGUUAGCCAAAGAUCAAAUGUUCGUGCAUUGCUACGGUAAAGAUCAAUUGUGUCUUUUAAACCCAUGGAAUUUUUUAUCUAUGUUUUUAUUACACUUAAUGGAUGUCUACACAUUUGCUAGAAAAUCAAAAUAAUUUUGACUUAAUUAUUUCUUUCAACUCAAAUACUCAUUAAAUUUCUACCUUUUUAUUUAAGCAAGAGAGUUGCUCAAAAAAUGGAUACGUAACCAUGUUGUAUCAUACAAAGCAACCACAUUUCACAUAUAGUCUGGCUUAGCAAACACCAUUGUUGUCUUAACAUAGUGUUCAUGAGUUAGUAGACAUGGAUCUAUUUCUAAUUGCAAGUAGUGCAGCGUACAACCAGCCUGCACCGCCGCAGCUCAAUAUGCGAUAAUUUUUUAUCUUCCCAUGUAAUUUUUCUACUCUAGUACAUAUUGAACUCCACAUAAAUGUCAUGUUCUUUCACGCCACAGACGGUUUCUAAAGUUUGGAACUAAAUAGAUAGCCAAAAAUUUUAAAAAAAUAUUUAUAUGGAUACAUGUAUGUUCUUUGCAAACUAACAAUAUUGUUUACAAUAUCAAAAGGAAUAUGGCUAUGAUCAUUGCCGCAUAUGGCAGGUGAUGGUAGAUGCCGUAUGGGGUUUCUUUAACUUAAUUGUAUAAUAAGCUGAAAUACAUUUUCUAUUUGCAAAUGAAUCAUAGCUGAAAGUGGUGGGAUUGUAGAACCGCCGGCCAUCGUGUCCUUGUAGGACCGCUGCACGAGCCUGUGAGCCACCAGCCACCAUGCGCCCAAGGGCCAUCACCACGCCAUAAGAGGAUGCUGUCUACCCGGUUUCGCGCGCCUGUGCUAGCUGCCUGAACCUGGGCCGCCGCCGGUCGCCUGCCCAGCCGCGCGUUGCGCCAGGGUUUUGCUGGUGACGACCAUGGCCUUCGCGAUCAAAUUAAAAAGUUAUCAACUGCAAAGUAUUAGGUCUCGUUGAGCUCUACAAUUUUGAUAUAAAGUUUCUAUUCAUCCGAGAUCAAAUAAAAAAUUUGAUACUCAAAGCAUAAAUCCAUUAAUCUAGUCUUGCUAAUCCUUACCACCAAAUAAAAAACUAGCAUGUGUUGUGUGUUUGUGACCCUAAACGAUCACAAAUGAAUAACUUAUGGGCCUUGCUAGCGCCCGGAUGUCCAGGCCGGGGCACUAGCAUCAGACCCACGAGUAGCCGUCCGAUCAGGUUCGACACCACUUCAGGAUCUGGCUUAAAAAGAAGUCCCACCGAAACAUUGUUCCAUGUUGCAUGAAGCAACCCACUACCGUCGCCAGGUCUAGAGCAAGCACCACCUUCAAAUGUGCUGCUCACCCUAGCUAAAUAGGGGCAUUAAAAUAUUUCUCGCAUAUCCUUCUCAAAUUAAACAAAAUCGCAACAUCUGAAAAUUUUUACAGAAAACCAUGAAACAUAUCGAUUAGAUAGAUGUAACAAGAUGGAAUAUGGUAUAUGCAACAUAUAGGUUCCGAAAAGCAGAUGAAAUAUUAUGUAAUGAUUCUUGAAACAGUCAAGAAAAAUAGAUGUAACAUCUAAAAUUAAGAAAAGAAGCUUUAUGCAAAUUGCAAAAAGCUGAAACAAGUGGUUGAAACAUUUCAAAUCACCAAAUGCCACAUUUGAAAUGACCAGAUGAAACAUCACGAAAUCAAUUGCAACAGUUGAAGAUGAAAACAUUCAAAUGCCUUGCCUUUCUCCAAAUUUGACCCUCCAAGCAUGAGUCCAGCCAUUUGCACAUUAGACCCUUGGGAGGAGCUCACCGGAGAACAACAAGACCGUGUUAUCCAACAAUUUUCAGAUCAAAUUGCAACAUAAAGAACAAAGCAUUGCAACAUCUGGCAUCACGAGCUACAACAGCAACCAGUUAGGAUCAGGAGAAAGAGGGCAAACACAAGCCUAACAAUGAGUUAUAUCCGGUUUAAACAAGGAUAAAAAUGAGUGUAUUUUACACUCAUCAUGUUGUCUUUUCGCAGCUGUACCGCCUUUAGCGUGUUGUAUUGUUCCUAACACCAAGUCUCCGAGGCCCGAAAAAAUAAGGAAAGUGGUAGCAGCUCAGAAAUCGACUAAGUUUCUUUCCCCCUUUGGCUUUCCUACUAGGAUUCGGAAUCCUCUUUCGUAUGACAAUCUUAAUGAUCUCCCAUAGUCCAAAACUCACAAAAACAUCAAAAAUCCACCGAGAAUAAAUUAAGUAAAAAAACAUGCACACACAGAUAAUAAUAGUAAUCAUGUUUCAUUAUGAUUGCUAAGGUCAGACACAAUACAUAAACAUAUUAGACUGAGUGACCCACCUCACCUCAGAGUAUGCACCAUGUCUGAGUGACCCACCUCACCUUGCCAGGACACUGGUCCUGCCCUCGUGGUUCACGCGCCCUCGUGGUUCAGCAGUGGUCAGUACACAAAUCUAGCUGCCAGUCGGAUCCAAGGGCAGGCAUUUGCAUUGUGGUUGUGUUUGAACAUGGAGAUGUCAUUAUUAUUGUCAGGCACCAUACAUCCUCUCUCAGUUUCACUCCGCCUCACACACGGAUAGCACACCAGGGACCCGACACCAUGCAUGCCGAUUUCAUAUUAUUAAUAUUUAAUUUUUUUAAUGGUUGUUGAAACUAUAUUGUUGAUAUUUUUAUACAUAAUUUACGACCUAAUUUGGAUAUAUUUUUGAAAUAUUCCGAAAUCUUAAAUUCACACGUCUAGAGAUACAGUUAGUCCAAUCUGAUGUUUCCGAUUAUAAAAAUGAACAUAAAGAGAUAGGAAGCGAGAGACGUGAGGGGGAAAGUUAAAUUAGGGCCUAAGGGGUGAAGUUAGGGUUCCAGGUGAGCUGUCAUCACUACGUGUUUUUAAUCGAAAUUGGAAUGUCAGCAAUCGUCAGAUCUUGAGCCAACAGUUGAGACUGCCUCGGAAUGGUAAUUAGGUCUGCGCGAGCUUGCAUUGUGGCCUUCCUUGAAACCUUGGACAUAGGUGUUAUAUUAUUAUGUUCUUGCCAGCACACAGCAGUGAAGGACGACACAGUUGAGAUGUGCAUCACAUUUUCUAUAUGAAGGAUAUGUUUAGCAAACCUAAGAUUUUAGAAUAAAAAGAAAAAUCAUGGGAGCCAAAGCGCCACAUAGUUCUUCCAGGUAAAAAAAAAUCAUCCACUGGACCAGCACAUAGUAACGAUCCAAAAAGUCCAUAUUAAGAUUUUUUGAUAGCAGAAAAAACAUAAAAUGUCUAAUAUUUGUAGUAUUAAAAGGAAAAAUAAUAUAUUCACGUGACCUUUUUCCCGUAGCAAGGCACCGGUACGUGGUCAGACUUAAUGCACGAUGCCUAAGCAUCCAUUGGGCCUACCCUCGUGUGGAUCACGCGCAACAGGACACGGCUCACAAGCUAUGAUGUGCAGCAGUCGCUCAGAUGGCUGAAAGGUACCCUUAAUUUGAAUGGUACCAUAUAUAUAUAUAUAUAUAUAUAUAUAGUAAACAAGACAAACCACCGUUGAUACUACUUUGCACUACUUGAUACAUAUAUCUCCACCAAAAGCGAGGCACGUGGGGAGGAGAGAUAUGUGGUUGAUGGUGCGGGCACGUGGCGAGUGCACCGUACGAAAAUUUUGCUCGUGUCGGACGACUGAUGUGAAGCAUUACCCAAUCUUAAUUAUCUCCCAUAAUCCAAAACUCACAAAAACAUCAAAAAUCCGCCGAGAAUAAAUUAAGUAAACCAUGCACACACAGAUAAUAAAAUUGCUAAUAAGGCCAGAGACAAUACAUAAACAUAUUAGACUGUUCAUGACACAUAUCACGGUGGAUAGUGUCUGUGUCCUUAUUACAAGCAAUGAGAGAUGCUUGUCACCACACACACGCGCACAGAUGCACAACAUACAUAUAGUUGAGACCAACAGAUGGAUCAACUAGAGGUCACCCCAUAUGGUGAACAAUUUAUUGGAGAUAAACAUUAACAUAACUUGGCCAUAGCUUGAAGCAUAGCAACAUAUGCCUAUGAACGGCGUUCAUGCUAUCAUUUUAGGCUUGUCCGCUUCUUCCAUCUUAGCAAGCACUUCCAUUUCUACCAUCUUAGAAGCAACUGUCAAAUUGAGAUAUGGAAAUCCCAUUAGCGCAUGAGUUAAUUUUGCAGUGAAAAUAGAGUACAAGAUAUCUUCAUGAUGUAAGUAACAUGCCUGAAGUUGUGAGAUGGGAAGUGAAGUCAACAAAUUACAUUAACGGAAAUGCAUGGAAGGCCACACAUACGUAUUAGUCCAUGAUAUGCUACAAAGCUUGUAUGUACAUAUAGCAAAUUAAAUGCAUUAAUUGAAUAGAGUGAGUUUAGUGAAUUUACCAGAAUCGUCCAGAAAACAUGGGAAACAGCAAGUGUUCUUGCAGACUGCGUCGGUGCCACCCACAGCAAUACAACCAAAACAACAUGCUUUUGCCCGAGCGGCUGCGCAGCAGCCGCACUCUGCCGCGGUGGCCGAGUUAGCAUUGAGGCUCAAGAUGACCAGGCACAUGAUCACCAUCAAAGCGGUGGUAGUCCUCUUUCCCUCCAUUGCCUCCUCUUGCUGCUACCUUCCUUGGUUACCUAGCUAAGUUUAUUGGUUUUGUGUUGAGAGGUGAUUCUUGCAUUGAAUGGACGUUGCCGCGGCUGCAAUUUAUAGGCAGCUGCGCUAUGUGAUGAUAUGGACAAGGUGCAAAUGGGUGGUCCUGAUAUGGAUAAGGUGCAUGCGAAUGGCUGUCUACUUGUAUAGUGGCGCUCCAAUGUACAUACGUAUGUAUCUUAUGCAUGUAUACAGUUGAUGGAUGUACAUGUUUGUUGCACAAAUUAUUCUGAACCAACUCUUCAUAACAGGUCUUUGUUACCAAGUAAUUUUACUUUUGCACGUUUCAGCCGAGAGGCAGAAGAGAAUAUUUUACAGAGAGGGCAGAGAAGGAGGUUGGCGGAGGCGCCGUGGUAGGGUUCCCCGUGUCGCCAAGAUUUUUGCAUUUUAGAUGUGUGUAUUGAUCACUUCGUCGUGCUCGCGGGGCCCAACUCCAGGUUGUACCCCAGCAGACCACGUUCUGUUUCUCUGCCUCCAAUGAGCAUGCAUGCCUCCACAAGGACCACAAGACUUAGUAAAAAAGCUAAACUUUGCAACACGAUGUAUACAGAACGUUUUGAAAUGUACUCUCGUUAGGCAUUCACCUCCUUAACAAUCACUGCGACUGUAAAAGAGGUACAUCGACGCUAGCUAAAUAAACCACUAUAAGAUUUAGCAAGAGAUCAUUUUAUACAAUCCUGUAACGAAACAAUUUGACAAUUAUAGUGUCCAUAUAUUUUGACAAAAAAACGUUUAAAUUAUAUAAGGAGGUGGGCCCGAAAACGGUUGGAUUACAUCGAGAACGUUUUGAAACAGUUGGCGGAGCAGGAUUCUGGCGUGGAGCAUCUACAUUGUCGCGCGCGCGGACUGCCGGAGUAGGCACGCUCGACUUGUCCCAUCGCCAGCUAAAUGAUUUAGUACCGGAUGGUCUCUAGUACCGGUUGGAGCUACCGUCCACCAGGAGCUUUUCUAGUUUGGAACUGGUACUAAUGCUAAUAUUAGUAUCAGGUCAAAAACAAUCGGUACUAAGGCUAGGGAUGACACGUCAUUUUUCUAGUAGUGUGUGCAAUUGGUUUUGUAAUUAGUCUAUAUUUAAUACUUCUAAUUAGUAUCUACACAUUUUAUGUGACAGGGACUGAACUUUAGUCCGUGGAACCAAACACCCCAUAAGUAUGUUUGGUGCUGUAAGGAUUUCGGUUUUAUUUAAUUUCCUAGGCAUUUAAAUUUCUUUCUAAAAUAAGUUAAUGAAUCAUAGGAUCUCAUUGUUGUAUUCAAGCUGGUGCAUUGAUUUUGCCUAUAAAACCCGCCGCGGUCUUCGCAGCCCCCAUCAAACCCUAGCGCCCUUGCCACAAGCUCAGCACCGCUGCCGCCCGAGCUCGAGCACUAGCACCCACCCAUCGCCGUUGCCUUCCCGUCGAUGGGAUCACCGCCCGGAGCUUCGCAUCGUGGUAAGGAAGCCGCCCGUGAAGAUCCCAUGUGCUCCUAUGCCCUCUACCGCGUCCCCGAGUUCCCGGAGUUGCUAGUCUCCCACCGAGCCGACUCUCCGAGCUUCACGUCACUGGUGCCGCUCCGAAGACCUAGUUCGGUUCGCCAUGCACCUCGCUUCAUCCUGAGCUAAACCCCAUAAUGAAUGGUGGUCGGAUGCUCGCCGCCACGGCGCGUCGUCUUUUCUGUCGCCCGUGCAUUGCCUAUCCCCUUCCAGCCGAUUGCAGCUGUCCGAUCGCAAACCGGUGGCCCUGAUCGGAUACCAAGGUCAAUACCGGUCGAACCGAGCCGUGCGCUGCUUUUGCAAGAAGGCCCCUGUUUUUCUCUCUUUUUGCACCUGAGGUCCUACGCAGUUCAAAAGUAAUAAGAUCUAGGUCCUUUUUCUUUUGUUUUAGCCCGUGUUCUUUUAUAAAAUCCCGCCCACUAUUCUGUUUGGUCUUUUGACGCGUUAGACCUUCUUUUUAUAUGUUUAAUUAGGUUUUAGGUCUCGAUUUCUUUAAGUUUAGCCCUUGAAAGUUUAGUUCUCUCGCAGUUAAGCCCCUGAACCUUGUUUAGCUCAUAUCUUAAGCGUUUUAAAUCCGUUUUAACAGAUUCUUGCGCCUAUAAGUUCAUGUUGACGCAUAGAUUAGUUGACUUAUACGAACCUUGCUGAUUCAGCUCCUUGAUUGUGCUUCAGAUCUCGCUAGGGAAGAAUAAUGGAUGGGCUUUGGUUGAGCUUGUAGAUCGACUUGCAGUUGCAGUGAAUGAGCAGAGGAUUGGCAGUGAAUAAGAUCAGGCCGCUGCCCUGCUUGGUAGGGAAAAUAUCUGCUUGCUACCAAGGCCUGUGACGCAUGGACCCCAUUGAGAGUGCAUUAUUGACAAGGACUUAAAGCCAAGGGCUCCACACCUGUCAUUGAUCAGCUGUCUGCUGGGCGCUGCAAGGAGGUAGUGCAUGUUUGACAUAAAGAAGCAGGUGGCCCAGGAUUUACGAAAAAUAAGGAUCUAUUUGAUACCCUUGCUUAUAUUUAGGGGCUAAAAGUUGCUUAUUUGAAGUUGCUUAUUUUUAAUCCUAGCUGUUUGAUUGCAUGGGCUAAAGAGCAUUGAAUGAGGUGGAUAUUGUCAUGUUUGCCUCUAAUGAUUGCUUCCCAUCACAUUUCUCCCCCCUCAUUCAACGAGGGAAGGAGGUGUAAAGUGCACCUUUUAGCCCCGAUAAGUAACCCUUGUGUUGUUUACGGGCUGAACAUAAGUAGCUAAAGUUUAGCUCCAAUAAACAAGAGUGUUUGGUAUUUUUGGGGUUAAAAGGGGCUAAACUUUAGCUGCUUAUGCAUAAGCAAGGCCAUCCAAAUAGGCCCUAAGUAUGUUUGGCGUUGUAAGUAGGUUUUAUUUAAUUUCCUAGGCAUUUAAAUUUCUUUCUAAAAUAAGUUAAUGAAUCAUAGGAGUUCAUUGUUGCAUUCACGCUGGUGCAUUGAUUUUGCCUACAAAACCUGCUGCCGUUUCCGCAGCUCCCAUCAAACCCUAGCACCCCCGCCACGAGCUCCAGCGCCGCUGCCGCCCGAGCUUGAGCACUAGCGCACACCCAUCGCCGUCGCCUUCCUAUCAAUGGGAUCACCGCCCGGAGCCCGUGUCAUGGUAAAGAAGCCGCCCGUGAAGAUCCCGUCCACUCUCGUGCCCUCUACCGCGUCCUCGAGUUCACCGGAGUUGCCAGUCUGCCACCCAGCCGCCUCUCCGAGCUUCAUGUUGUCGUUGCCACUCUAGCUGCCUCUCUGAAGACCUAGAUCGGUUUGCCGUGCACCCCGCUUCAUCCUGAGUUAAACCCCAUCAUGCCACGUCAUAGUAAGGAAGCUGCUCAUGAAGAUCCCGUGCGCUCCCGUGCCCUCUACCGCGUCCCCAAGUUCACUGGAGUUGCUAGUCCACCACCGAGCCGCCUCUCCGAGCUUCACUUCACAGUCGCUGCUCCAGCCACCACUCUGAAGACCUAGAUCAGUUCGCUGUGCACCCCACCUCAUCCUGAGCUAAACCCCAUGACGAACUGUGGUCGGAUGCUCAUUUUCGAGUGAAUUCCGGCGAGAUGGUCGCCCGCCGCCGCCAUCUCCAUCGCCCAUGCACCGCCUGUCCCCUUCCAGCCGAUGUCCGAUUGCAAACCGAUAGCCGAAAUCGGAUGUGGUCACCAGGAUUAAUACCAGUCAAACUAAGCCACGCGUGCCGCUUUUGCAAGAAGGCCCCUAUUUUUCCCUCUUUUUGCACUUGAGGUCCUAUGCAGUUCAAAAGUAAUUAGAUCAAGGUCCUUUUUCUUAUGUUUUAGCCCUAUUCUUUCAUAAAAUCCCGGCUGCCAUCCUGUUUGAAAUAGAUACGGUUAUAGAUAUGCAAACAUCUGCAUAUUUCCAACCGUAUCUCUUUCGAACGGGAGACGCCUAACUAGGUUACGUGACAUACGAACAUCAUACGGAUAGAGAGGGGUAGGAUGUCUCACCUUGCUAUCCUACAAAGUGACGACUCGAGGACAGUAAUGUAGCCUCUCCUUCAAAAAAAGAACAUACUACUAUCAAGUUAAAUUUUUGACAGCACCUCCCCUGCACGUGGAGGUUUCCAUAACCUGCAUCAAAUAAAACGGCACGAUGGCUGACAACCACAUCUACAGCACCAGAAUGGCACGAUGGCCGACUUCCACAUAAAGUUCUUAUACCUUAGAUUGCCAAGUCAAACAUCCUUUUCUAAUUUCUAAAACAAAAGCCCUCCCACCUCUCUAUCUUAUACUUUCCUAUUUACUAAUUGCUUUUGUAAUUUCUAAUUUCUAUUUCAUCCUACCACCUCUGUACCCUUUUCUCAUUUCUAAUUCCAAUUUUCUAACUUGAAGAGCAAAGAUUGAUUACUAGGAGGGGUGAGGGACGCCGGCCUAGAGAGGCGAGGGGACGUCCGGCGGCGGCGGGUGCGUCGGGGGUAGGAUGCCAGGGGCGGCUGCAGGGGCGCCGGGUUGGGGGCGGCCGGGAUCGAGGGCACCAGUAGCGGGGGCACCGGGCCGGGGGCGGCCGGCGGGGCGGGACGCCAGGGCCGGGGCGACGGGCGCCGGUGGCGAGGCCGCCCGGCCGGUGGUGGCCGGCGUGGCGCCUGGGCCGGGGGGGGGGGGCGGGCGGGGUGCGGCGCGGCGCGCCGGGGCAGGGCGCCGAGGCUGGGUGGUGGGGUACGGGGCGGCGGGCGGGGGGUGGGGGGAGGGUCGGCGGCGGGGCGCGGGGGCGGCCAGCGGCGACGGCGGAGGGCGUCGGUGGUGUUUCGGAAGUGAUACGGAGGGGGUAGAGAGAUUCGUUUUCGCGGCUGAGUGUUCGAGUCAGAAGGCCGUGCGGCUUAAGUCAGGUGGUUUGCCGAGUGCGCGCGAUCUGGCACUCGGCAAAGUCAGAAGUUUUGCCGAGUGUCAGAUCGCGGGCACUCGGCAACUGCAGCUUUUGUCGAGUGCCCUGGAUUCGGCACUCGGCAAAGUGAAGUUUUAAUUUUUUUUAAAAAAAUUUAAUCGGAACACGGGCGUGCCAGCGGGCCCGUGACAUACUUUGCCGAGUGUGUAGCAAAAACACUCGGCAAAAUAUUAUCUUUACCGAGUGUUUUCGCUAGGCACUCGGCAAAGUACACUUAUAUUUCAUGUACACUUUUUCAAUAACGUGUUUUACUAACCUUUUUCUGAUAUACUUGGGAAAAACCUUAUCAAAUUCACUCAACAAUGGAUAUAUGGUUUUUCUACUGACAUUAUUCCAUUAUUUCAUUCAGUUAUAGCUCAAAUUGAAUUUAUAUCUAUUAAAAAUCAAUAAUUGCAUUUAAUAAAUAAAAAAUACCAAACGGAUCUGAAAAAUUUCCAAAAUUUGACAUGAACCAAUCUAUGUUGUAUGUUGCCUGUACAAAAAGCUUUGAAGUCAAACCCCAAUUCAAGUGUCACUUGGACUCCAAAUCUUAUCGGAUCCUUUCUAACUUCUAUGAAUCCUUUCGGGAGAUGAGUCGGUUUGUAAGCAUCAUAUGUCAUAAAUUGGGCGAAACCUUCUCAAUUUUUUACCACAGCCUCCACAUAUAAUAUCAUGACACCUUGACAAAUCUUGUGAUUUUCAGACUUCGUUUGCUUUUUUUAGAAUUUAACAACCAUUCAACCACAUGUUCGUGAUCGUGUUUUCUAAAAAAAUGUUCAAAAUUUCUUUUCAUUUCCUGGUUGAGACCUCAAUCCGGAUUGAAUAAUAUGAAUAUGAUUUUUUCACUGAUUUUAAUCCAUUAUUUAAAUCACUUGCAGUUAAAUUUGACUUAAAUAAACAAAUUCCUAUUAAUGCUAUCAAUUCAUUAAAAAUAGCAAACAGAGAAAAAAUAGACCAACUUUUAAGAUGGAUUACCAAAUGUCAUAUGUGGGGAGUAGAAAAAGUGUGGAGAGCAGAGGUGGAAAAAAAAGUUUUGCCUUUGCCAAGUGCCUACACAAACACUCAACAAACUUUGCGGAGUGCCUAUUGAAAACACUCAGCGAACUUCUGAGUUUGCCGAGUGUCUGGAGGGAGCACUCGGCAACCUACUUAUUUGCCGAGUGUCCGCGUCGGACACUCAGCAAAGUACUAACGGCUGGCACACUCCCCUAACGGACGGCGCACGUGCAAGCCAUGUGCUGGAGAUUUAUCGAGUGUCAAAUCGUUGCCGAGUGUCGUGUGGAUGUUUGCCGAGUGUCUUAUUUGUGACACUCGGCAAAGCUAUUGUUUGCCGAGUGUAUUAUUUAUGCCGAGUGUCUUCCAGUAUACACUCGGCAAAUGAUGUCUUUGCCGAGUGCUCGACAUAAAGCACUCGGCAAAAAUUUUACACUCGGCAACAUUCCUGUUUCCGGUAGUGAGUGACCCGGGACUAAAGACCCCCGUUGUCUCUGAUUGCUUUAUUCCGGAUGGAUUUUCAGGAGAUUUGCUCCCUACCAAUAGGGACUAAAGGCAAGUUUUCCACUUAUAGCAAACCAGUUAGCCCAUUGUUGAUGGAACGCAUCACUAGAAACAGCUCGGGAUCCACUUGUCCAAUAAUCGAGAGGGCCUAUAUAUGGACCACGUGUGCGGAUCCCUAAUUAGGAAAAAAGAAUAAUGGAGUAGGACAUCUCCAUGCUCACCUAGUAGCCGCUGCUAGCUUGUGCGUGUGGAACACGAGUGCCGGCCCAGUUGGCGCUAAGACAUCGUACGUGCAUUAAGGCUACGAUCUCUUUCUUCUAACUCAUGCUUGUGCUAUUAUACAUUAUUGCAUGAUCAUCAAGAUAAGAUCGUAUAGUGACUGAGUGAGACAUGUAUGUACUAACAUGCAUUUAAGCCUCGAACUGUGUGUUGUUACGUGAGCUGCCUCCUCACCUCGCCUCUGAAUUAUUGAACCGUUUCCAACAGUGUUGGUCUCAAAUAAAUUUGACACCAAACAGAUUUAUGAAGAAGAGAGAAUAAUACUUGGAAUUGGAAAAAGUUUAUCUCUCUUUACAAUGGAGUAGGGCUCCCUUUUAUAGUGACCCAUAAGCCACUUUACAUUUGGAAAAUGUCCUUCCUCAACCACUACAUUAAUUCCUAGGAUAUGCUGUACAUAAAGGUCAUUUGAGGUAACGUGUACAAAUGAACUCUUCCACAUGGUCACGUUUCUCAUGCCUCCUGUUUUCCAACCUCGAGACAUCAUCUUCACGCCAAGUUGAUCAUCUAGCCUCGAGGCUCCAUCCACGAUCCAGAAUGAACGUCCAGGCUUGAGGCUCCUUCUUCGUUAAGCUUUGUUGAGAACUCAUAACCUCACAUAGUUCUCCUCCGAGUAUUGUUCCCGACUCAGAACACUCGAGGUUUAGCUCAGUUGGAGUUUAGCUAUUACUGUUGCUAGUCACCAGCCUCGAGCCCCUCCAGAAGCAAGGUGAUGCGAGGGUACGAGUUUUACUAUUAAAGGUGUUUCCAUAGAAUGUGCGAGGUUAAAGCACUUGCAGCAAAAGCGUGGAGCUGCUUUCAACCAGAGUGCAAUAAUGCAGCCGUGCCCAUCUUGGUCUUGGUCUCCGCCUGAACUAUAGCAGAUGCUGGCAGCGGUAGCAGGGUGGUCCAUUAUAUCUAUGGAUGGCAAUGGUCGGAUUCGGAUGGAAUCGAAUUCGAAUAGCACUUUUUACCACAUACUAAUUCAAAUCCGAAUUCGGAUUCGGAUGUUCUCGAAUGCGAAUGCAAAAUGGAUGGUUCGAAUUCGAAUACUUAGCGGAUUUUUGCAUAAUAUUAAUCGAAUAGAAUUCAUUAAAUUUAGCCAAGAAAUUAAAUUUUCUGAAAUUAAAUACUUUCCCUUCGCCCCAGCGGCGGCCUAACUCCCAGGACGGUGGCGUGCGGGGCCCGAGCAUCCCUGGCCUCUAGUGGCGUGGCGGGGCGGCAUCCAGCAGCAGCGGCGGGGCUCGGCCUCCGGUGGCGCGCGGCCAGCCCGACCUACCCGGUCAGAGGUGGCGCAGCGGUGCGCGGGCCUCCCCGACCAGAGCCGGUGGGGAGCGGUGCGCGGGGAGGACCUCCCCAGCCGGAGGUAGCAGGGCGCGACCUCCCCGGCCGGAGGUGGCUCCCUGUGGGGGCGCGGCCGUGACAGCUAGCGAGGCAAUAAUUGCUUCCGUACGCAGCAAUAAUUGCUUGUGCGACACCGUGUUAUUACUCUGGUACAGUACUCCCUCCGUUGCAGUACACUGGUCCAGGCGUCAGGACACUGCUCCUGCCCUCGUGGUUCACGUGCAUCAGGCCAGCAGACAAGCUAUGAUGUUGCCAACAGUGUUUGUUUGAACAUGGAGAUGUCAUUGUGAUUGUCAGGGACCCGACACCAUGCAUGCCGAUUUCAUAUUCUUAAUAUUUAUUUUUUUAAUGGUUGUUGAAACUAUAUAGUUACUCCAAUAUCACGUUUCCGAUUAUAAAAAUUAACAUAAAGAGAUCGGAAGGGAGAGCCCGCAUAAUGAAGCCGACGCGUAUAAUAAGCACUAGAGCCGGCAUUUAUACAAACGGGUACGCAUAGUAAAAACUAGAAUUUAUAAAUAAAUGAAGAUAUUCAAAUAUCUGGCUUACUUUUUUCAUUAAUUUUGCAUGAAUAAGGGAUGAUUCAUUAAUCAUUAUUGAACAAAUUGGCACACAUGCUUCGUGCCCGCGUUGUGAGCAUUAUGCGAUGCCACUGAGCUGCACCACCACGGUAGAGGGCCUGUUUGCGAUGCCACCGAGCUGCACCACCACGGCAGAGGGUCUGUUUGGGAAGGGGAAGUUAAAGUUUAACACCCCCCAUUUAACACCUUUUUAACAAAAUGGCUGCUAAACACUUGUGUUAAAAGAGUAGUGUUAAAAUUUAACACCUCUCUUUUCAUAAACACAUGGAGGGGGUGUUAAAAUUUGCUAAAUGUGUUAAAAGUGGUCCCCUCCCCACUUAUUCCUUGGUUGCCCCCCUCUCUCUCCUCCUCUCUCUCCUACCCGCCGCAUUUAAGAGCAUUAUUGAGGGGUAAUGCAGUCCUUUUCCAACAAAAGUGUUAAACUUUAACAACCCUUCCCAAACAUGCCACAAGCAACACCACCGGCUGACUGUGCUAGCGGGGAGCACCCUCACCGCCUGCCCGUGGGGACUUCUUCUGCCGGCCAUCGUGUCUUUGUAGGACCGCCGCGUGAGCCUAUGAGCCACCGGUGGCCGUGCGCCCAAGGGCCAUCACCAUGCCACCUGAGGAUGCUGUCUACCCGGUGCCGCGUGCCUCUGCUAGCUGCUUGCACCUGGGCCGCCGCUGGUCGCCUGCACAGCCACGCGUUACAGCCGCCCCCCUGCGCUGGGCCACCCCAUUUCGUGUUGGAAGAACUGCCACAGUCUCGCGCACUGGGGUUUUGCUAGUGACGACCAUAGCCUCCAAGAUCAAAUGAAAAAGUUGGUACUCAAAACAUACAUCCAUUAAUCUAGUCGUGCUAAUCCUUACCACCAAAUAAAAACUAGCAUGUGUUGUGUUUUUGUGACCCUAAACGAUCACAAAUGAAUAACUUAUGGGCGUUGCUAGCCUAUAAGUUAUGGGCGUUUGUGACCCUAGUCGCGCCGGGGUCUUGCUGGUGACAACCAUGGUCUUCGCGAUAAAGUAUUAAGUCUCAUCGAGUUCUACAAUUUUGAUAUAAAAUUUCUAUUCAUCCGAGAUCAAAUGAAAAACAAAUGAAAAAAUCCGAAGUAUUAGGCUUCAUCGAGCUCUACAAUUUUGAUAUAAAAUUUCUAUUCAUCCGAGAUCAAAUGAAAAAAUCCGAGAUCAAAUGAAAAGUUGGAACUCAAAACAUACAUCCAUUAAUCUUGAUAUAAAAUUUCUAUUCAUCCGACAUCAAAUGAAAAAGUUGGUACUCAAAAUAUACAUCCUUUAAUCUAGUCGUGCUAAUCCUUACCACCAAAUAAAAAAACUAGCAUGUGUUGUGUGUUUCUGACCGUAAACGAUCACAAAUGAAUAACUUAUGGGUGUUGCUAGCGUCCCGGACGCUAGCAUCGGACGCAUGAGCAGCCGUCCGAUCGGGUCCGACACCACUUCACGAUCUGUCUUAAAAAAAAGUCCCACCGAAACAUUGUUCCAUGUUGCAUGAAAUACCCCACUAUCCAUCGCCAGGUCUACAGCAAGCACCACCUUCCAAUCUGCUGCUCACCCAAGCUAAAUAGGGGCAUUAAAAUUGCAGAAAUAUGUCACAUAUCCUUGUCAAAUUAAACUAAAUCGCAACAUCCGAAAAUUUCUUACACAAAACCAUGAAACAUAUCGAUUAGAUAGGUGUAACAAGAUGGAAUAUGGUAUCCAACAUAUAGAUUCCGAAAAACAGAUGAAACAUUAUGUAACGAUUGUUGAAACAGUCGAGAAAUAUAGAUGUAACGAUUAAAAUUUAGAAAAGAAGCUUUAUGCAAAUUGCAAAAAGCUGAAAUAAGUGGUUGAAACAUUUCGAAUCACCAAAUGCCACAUUUGAAAUGGCUACAUGAAACAUCACGAAAUCAAUUGCAACAGUUGAAGAUGAAAACAUUCAAAUGCCUUGCCUUUCUCCAGAUUUGACCCUCCAAGCAUGAGUCCAGCCAUUUGCACAUUAGACCCUUGGGAGGAGCUCACCGGAGAACAACAAGACCGUGUUCUCCAACAAUUUUCUGAUCAAAUUGCAACAGACAAAACAAAGCAUUGCAACAUCUGGCAUCACGAGCUACAACAUCAACAAGUUAGGAUCAGGAGAAAGAGGGAAAACACAAGCCUAACAACCCCAAGACAAAACUGAUGUACUCAUCAUACAUCACGGCUUGCCGUGCACAGAGAUGAAGGCCGCCAAGCUCAAUCGAGACAGAGACGACGUGAUAGUGCUCCAGAUCGACGGUCCCCAUCAAUUGUUGCGUACACUGCCAAAAGCAAUGGAAGAAGAAGGGUCGUCCCUGCUCGACCUCCGUAGAUGAGCGCAGAUUGGGGGAAACCGUAUAGAGUGCCGCUGACAGCACAGGCGAGGGGGCUCAGGCUUGAUUCAGGGUGAGGGUAGCGGGUAGCAUGAGGAGACAGUCAGGUUUCAUAGGAGAGAGGCGGAGUAGAGAGCUCUGGUGACUCGGUGAGGAGGGUGCGGCACGGAGAAAGGUGUGUAGCUGAAGGAGCUACAUGGUUGGGGCGAGGCGAGCGUAGAGACUAGAGAGGGAAAAAAAGCAUGGGGAGGAGACGAUAUGUGGUUGAUGGUGCGGGCACGUGGUGAGCGCACCGUAUGAAAAUUUUGCUCGCGUCGGAUGACUGAUGUGAAGCAUUACCCAAUCUUAAUUAUCUCCCAUAAUCCAAAACUCACAAAAACAUCAAAAAUCCGCCGAGAAUAAAUUAAGUAAACCAUGCACACACAGAUAAUAAAAUUGCUAAUAAGGCCAGAGAUAAUACAUGAACAUAUUAGACUGUUCAUGACACAUAUCACGGUGGAUAGUGUCUGUGUCCUUAUUACAAGCAAUGAGAGAUGCUUGUCACCACACACACGCGCACAGAUGCAUGACAUACAUAUAGUUGAGACCAACAGAUGGAUCAACUAGAGGUCACCCCAUAUGGUGAACAAUUUAUUGGAGAUAAACAUUAACAUAACUUGGCCAUAGCUUGAAGCAUAGCAACAUAUGCCUAUGAAUGGCGUUCAUGCUAUCGUUUUAGGCUUGUCCAGCUUCUUUCAUCUUAGCAAGCACUUCCAUUUCUACCAUCUUAGCAGCAACUGUCAAAUUGAGAUAUGGAAAUCCCAUUAGCGCAUGAUUAAUUUUGCAGUGGAAAUAGAGUGCAAGAUAUCUUCAUGAUGUAAAUAACAUGCCUGAAGUUGUGAGAUGGGAAGUGAAGUCAACAAAUUACAUUAACGGAAAUGCAUGGAAGGCCACACAUACGUAUUAGUCCAUAAUACGCUACAAAGCUUGUAUGUACAUAUAGCAAAUUAAAUGCAUUAAUUGAAUAGAGUGAGUUUAGUGAAUUUACCAGAAUCGUCCAGAAAACAUGGGAAACAGCAAGUGUGCUUGCAGACUGUGUCGGAGCCACCCACACGAAUACAAAGCUGACAACAUGCUUGUGCCUCGUGGGAUACGCAGCAGCCGCACUGUGCCGCGGUGGCCGAGUUAACAUUGAGGCUCAAGAUGAACAGGCACAUGAUCACCAUCAAAGUGGUAGUCCUCUUUCCCUCCAUUGCCUCCUGUCGCUGCUACCUUCCUUGGUUACUAGUAAGUUUAUUGGUUUUGUGUUGAGAGGUGAUUCUUGCAUUGAAUGGACGUUGCCGCGGCUGCAAUUUAUAGGCAGCUGCGCUAUGUGAUGAUAUGGACAAGGUGCAAAUGGGUGGUCCUGAUAU
RNAcentral lists this long non-coding RNA (60980 nucleotides) under Setaria viridis. Its description in RNAcentral is "long non-coding RNA (SVIR_LNC010032)". The record is from RNAcentral. Lineage: Eukaryota; Viridiplantae; Streptophyta; Magnoliopsida; Poales; Poaceae.